This 47855-nucleotide long non-coding RNA is filed under the name Vitis vinifera (wine grape). RNAcentral describes it as "long non-coding RNA (VVIN_LNC000170)". Lineage: Eukaryota; Viridiplantae; Streptophyta; Magnoliopsida; Vitales; Vitaceae. The record is from RNAcentral.
UUGCUUUAUGUGCAGUUGUGGGUUCUGAACCACAAGCAAACCACAUGUAUCAAUUUCCCAAUACAUAUGCAUGUAGGUGGCUGCAAGCACAGCAAAUAGGGAAAAUGCUGUCAAAUUAAAUCAUCUCAUUCAAACCUUGUCAGGCUCCUUGGCUGAUCAUCCAAUUUAUCAACACCAUCUUGCACGAUACCAUUUGAAGAUCUGGAAUUUUCAGAUAUUAUACUGCCUGCAAUCUCCUUAAGACCCUGCAUUAACAUAGAAGACAUGAAUUGCUUAUGAAGUCAAAGAAAUGUUAAUUGCCUCAAGAGAAGAAAAAAAACACCUAAACACCAUCAUCAACCCACACAUCCAUACAAUCACAAACUAGCAUUUAAGUAUCAAGUUUCUCAUAGCUACAAUCAAUGAACAGCUUCUUAACCCCUUGAUGGUACCAUGAAACUUGAAAGCAUACAUCCAGGUGGGUUGACUUGAAGUUUGAACCAUGAGUUGCACUGCAAACUAUAAUAUCAAUUCAACCAACUGAAAUGCCAAAACCAGGCAGUCUGCACUGGGGAAACAUAAAUUUAUUUUUCAUGUUGUGAAAAGAAAAGAAUAAAGAAUCUCCUUCAAAAGCAUUUGUAAUUUCUAUAAAUUUUUCAUGUCAUGAAAAGCAGAGAUUAAAGAAUGUCCUUCAAAAUAAUUUCUACUUUCCCCAGCUAGCAAAUCGGAGUUUACUUCCAAAACCCUCAGUGGAAAAAAGAAAAGGAUGUAUAAGACUUCACCAAGCCCAUCAACUUAAAAAUGUUGCAAUGAAGUGGUAACAGAAGCUUUCACUGAAAUAACCAGAUACCAAACCACCUGCUUGGCAGGCCAGCCCACUUAUAAAAUGGAAAUGGAAUAACUCUUGUGAAGCAAACAGCUAUGCAUAAACCUAAGCUCUAACCAUUUGAAAAUGGCACCAUUCAUGUAAAACAGAAGAUGACAAGGUCAUCAAUUUGCACAUUCAAUAACUGUGUAUUAUUAUCACCAGAUUGUCAAUUGAGAUCAUGGAGCAUCUAACAAUUAUUUUUGAAGUCAGAAAGAGGGAUACCUGGAAACUUGGAGCUUCUGUAGAUGUGAGUAAACCGUGGGACUUGCCAGGUAGUUUAAGCUGUUUCUGAAAGAAGAUGUUGAACAAAGGAUGUGAUCAGUGAGAACAUGUAGAUGAGGAAUCUCCCAGAUAUGACACCACAUUUGAGAGUAAAAAAAAUGUAAAAAUGAAUUCAAACUGUAUUCUUUAACAGGUCAGGUAAAUAAGCAGAAAUUAAUCCAGAUAUCCAGAUGUGUUCAAUACUAAAUAUAAAAAUAUGCUUUAGAUUGAUGGGGAAAAGAUUGGACUUCAGAUCAAUGGGAAUAACGAUGGCAUGCCAUCAAUGCUCAUUGGCAUCAAACACCAUGUGGUUAAUGAAUGCAUUGAGGACCCACACAGAGCAUGUUAUCAAGGAGAAUUAAAGAGGUGCAGCUGUAUGUGGAUUAUAAUAUUAUCUAAUUACAUUAAGGCACUGCUGUUUGAACAUCUAGUGAACAAAAGCAUCUUAACUUGGAUCUAAGGUAGAUGGAAAAAUUCUUUUAAGCAUAGCAAGUAGUGAAUAAGAAAUUAUUUUACACUUAAAAGUCAAUAGCAAACUUGAAAUUUAUGUAGCUACUAAUACCAACCAGCAUAGUUUCAGACAUUGGUACACUUCUUCCAUUAACAGCGUUGCACAGGUACACCACACCCUCAACUGCAAAAUUCUGUUGCCAAAAUUAGGUUAGCAUAUGCUCAAGCCAACAACUAUGGGAAAAACAUAAACCACAGAUGCAACUGCAAGUUACAUAAGAAUGUAACAGGUGGCUAUUAUUACCAUAACACAGCAGAAAACAAGAAAUGUUUGUAAAUAUAACAAGACACACUGAGAUUACACUGCAAAUAUGAGCUUUUCCAUAAACAAUCUAAUAUAUAUAUCAAACCAGCCAACGGAUAAUAUUGUAGACAAUAAGAUAAUAGUAGAAUAUUUAGAUAUCAUAAGUUCCAAUUUGUAUCUCCCAAACACUAGUAUUGGAUAUUUUGCUAUUAAGAAUUAAUGUGAUCUUCACCAUAGCAGUAGAUAAAAAGAGUUCAGGUUGGCCGUUCUAAUCAUCUCUUAUUCAUUCAAACAGUAACUUUAGGAUUUUGUAGCCAUCAGAUCUAAGAGUUAUUUCAGUAUUUUUGGAUAUUUUCAGGAUAAUAAGCAAUUGAUUUCAUAGGGACCCAUUUGCCUUUGUUUCGCAUCAUUACCAACUACGUACCGAAAAAAUGCCCCUUCUAAAGAAAUCAUGCAUUCAUCAUGUGUUGUGACUCACAAUUUGUGCAGCUUACCCUCUCAUUUUUUCUAAACUUUCCAAUCACUGGAUUCCUUGUUUCCUUGCUUCCUUUCUUUUUUCUUAGUUCAGUAGCAUUAAUGAAAACUCAAUAAAAGGAAAUAUAAACAUCUUUAAGAUUCUUAUCAUAUGACCUGUUACUGCUAUCCGGGAGGCACCCUGAUGUAUUUUCAUAUUUCUUCCUUUGAGAUGUGAAAGAUGAAUUUUCUUUUUCUUUUUUUUCUUUUUUUUGAUAGGUAAGAGAAAUGACUCAAUGAGAUGUAUUAAAAAGUGCCUAAUAUAAGGGGGCACACCCUAUAUACAAAGGGGGAUAUGAAAGAUAAAAAUUUUAAAGGAAAUGAGAACAAGACAUUAAUCUUUUUUAUGAGCAUGAAACAUAUUGAAUCAAAAAAGAAAACACACUCAAAAUAAGACGGUAAUCUUUAAUCAACAAGCAGGACACACUUCUACAGAUGUUUACCUGUAACCAACAAAGCCAUUCAUGUAUUUAAAACCACUACUAAAGGCAUUAUCUUCCCUUGAUUGCCCAGAUAAAGUUCUCUUCUUGAAUACAAUCCCUUAUAUUUAUUUUUCUUUUUCUUUUUUGUACUUCAAAUUUUUUGGAUUGCAAGCUUUUCUCAGGCCAGGAUAAGCAUUGAAAACAGAUAUAAGUGUUGACCAUGUUCCACAAUAAUAUAGUUUCUUUUUUUCAAAUCAGAUAACAAUAUAAAAGGUAUUUCACCUGCUUAUAUUCCAAUGAACCUAUCUUCCCAUCCUGCAAUUGAAAACAAAAGGUAUUCACAAGAAUUAAAGAAGAUUCACAAAAGAAAUGAGAAAAAAGUAUAUGUUAAGAAAAAAAAACAGAAGAAAGAAACACAUCAAUAUAUGCUAAGUGUGUACUGUUGAAUUAACAAUCUGCCAAGCUACCCAAUAAAGCUGUUUAAUAUCCACCACAUUGAGACAAAAUGGGUGCUUAGCUCAAGUUGUUCAAUCUAUUGGAGAUUUGCUACAAUCUACCCAUGAUACCCUAGAUUUAUAUCAAGGAAAAAGACAUUUGAUUUGGAUUUUGAAAAGAGAUGCUAUGUACAAACAAAUGCUCCUCUCACUCUAUGACAGAGGCCCCAUAUUCACAGGAGAACCUGGCAAGUCACAGGUUCGCUGGGUGAUUAAUGCAUCCACAGCCCUACUUUUAGGUGAUAGAUACACCCGCUAGGGUAGUCCAGUUGGUCAAUGCGAACAUUGGGAAGUGUGGUCCCAGUAAGUGGCACAUGGUCCUAAGUUCGAAUCUUGCCACUAAUGAUACCCUGAAUUUAGCCAGUACUAGUUGUUGCAGGGUGGUCAGCACCCCGAGGUUUGGGUCCCCAUGGAAAGUCCUAAGGGCUUGGCCAUGGAAGGUUCCUUGAUUAUCCAAAAUGAAAAAUAAAAAAUUGGGUGAGAGAUACAUGCAGCGCCUACUUUUUGGAGUGGAUUUUAAGGUCAAGUUUUGGUGAGAGAUAGAAGCAUUGCUUCCUCCAUUAAGUGGAUUUAAGGUUACAAAGGAGAUUUGUUUUUUUUUCUAAAAAAUAUUCUUCACAAAAGAAAAAAAAAAUUAUUAGUGAAAAAUAUACAUGCAGAUCUAACAUGGGGUGUAUUCAAAUGUACAGUCCAUUCAUUAAAUACAUCAGCGAUGACAUAAUUUCUAAAAAUUUAAUACAGAGAUUCAGUAGGCUACUUUUCCCUACUCAAUCUCUGUUCUUAAAGCCCAAAUACAUUAGCUAGACAUAUUUCUCAAAAAAAUUUAUGAUAUUUUAAGUGUACAGUCCAUUCAUUUAAUGAUUUUUUCUUUUUUAUUUUUUGGUUUAUGUGCUGCCUCAACUGUAGCCUUCUUUUUAUAGAGCCUCAUUGUUGAAUGAGAUUGUGUAUGAAGUUUGAAAUUUUUCUCCAAAUAAAACUCAUCAAUCCAACUUAUCAGAAAAAAAAAAAAAAAAAAAAAACAAACAAACUAAAAACAAAACAAAACCUCACCAAUCCAGAGACCAUCCUUUGUAGUGAAUCCAAGUCAAAGCCAAUUUGAGAAAUAUCACCACGAGCUUCAGUAACCUGUUUCACAAGUCUGUUAAUAAUUUAAAAAAGCAGAAAUUCCAUGAUAGCACAUAGUAUUAUAAUAAAAUGCAAUAAAUCAUGCUAGAUCCUUAUUGAAUUGAAUUGAAUUGAGAUCAAUUUAGAACAUGGAAAUGACCACAUCAAAGAUUUGGAUACUUAUUAUGUAUUCGAUACGUUUCCCUGUAUCUAAAUCAGUUGCAGAUCACAAUUUAAUGCUUUAAAGGGUUGGGAGGGUUUGUGCAAGGUUCCAGGUUCAAGUCCCAAUGGGAACAAAAAAUUUACCCAUAAAAAAAAAAGGCCUGUUUGUUAUUCAAUAAGCUUCACCAGAAUUAAUUAUUCUGAGUGCAUGGUAUUAAGAUAAACAUAUUCUGAAACUCUCUUUUUUUUUAAAAAAAAACUUUAUUUUUUGUUGCUUUACGUUGUUUCUUAGAUAUAAGAUACAAACUCAUUAGGGCAUAAUACAAUAAGGGAGGUAGAUUUUUGGAUGUACCUCAUUCUUAAUUAACUUCGAGAUCUCCUUCUGCUCAUCCAGUUUUCCAUCCAAAUUCUCAAUUCGCUGUGUCAAAUGCCUUUUUGUUGCCUGAUCACCAAAAGAAUUUACAAGAAUCAAGAAGCUAUAUACAAAUUUCAUGAUAUUUACGAAAUUAUAACAAGGGAGGUUCAUUAUAAUAUAUGCACCACAAUUCAUAAUCAAUUCAAUAAAUUGUCACAAGUUAAAGGCUAGAAAUAAAAAUCAGUUGGAAACAAAACUCUCCAACUUAUCUCCUCAAUUCAACUGAAAAAAAAUUCAGAUGACAGCAACAUAGGGUCCAGUCCGAGAGCAUAACUACUGGGCAUUAACUACAUCAAUCCUUCACAUUAACAUGCCAGUCUAGAGCCCCAUCCUAAUGCCCCCACUCCACAAACAAACAAUCAAACAAAAAACCAAAAAUGCAUCAAAGGAGAUGUCAUGAAGUAUCACUUGGUGCUGCAAAAAGGAUACACAAUGGAAGCUAAAAUAUGAAUUUGUGCAUCAUCAAUUAAACAUAGAGGGCUCAAGAAAAAAAGAGUCAUUUGCAAAAAUUUAGUGCACUUGCUUUUAAUGAAAUUGAAGAGCCCACUUUGUAACAACAAAAUCCUUAUUAUCGAACUCUUUUCAAUUUCUCAAUUUUUAUUGAAAACAAGGAAAACUAAUUUUUUAGCCUGAAAUGUUGACAUGCAAUAAAAGGUUUAUAGAGCAAUAUUAAUGGGAAAAUUCAAUACAAAUAGUUAGAGCAAUGAAGAUUUUUAGGCUACUUUAAUAACUGUUUCUUUUGAAAGGAAACUUUUGUACAAUUUUAAACCAAUCCAAAACAUAAACUAGAAUAAAAUAAAACAAAUCUAUACUAUGCUGUCUUAAUUCACAAGGAUAAAAAAUAACACAAUUUUUUGAUAAGCAAUCAAAGAGAAGAUAUAUAUUAGUAAAAAGAGUUAUACACCAAGGAACACAAGUUGUACAAAGGGAAACAAAAGGCAUAGCACGGAAGAGGGAAAAUACAAAAAAGUGCUCCCUCUCUCAUCUAGAUCCCAUCCAAUCUACAUAAUCGAUCAAAGGCAUUGAUCAAUUUUGAAGAAAAUUGUAUAGCCUUUACAAAGAAACAAGGAGAAUGAUGCAUGAGACCACAGAAAACCAAGAAUUGCGACCCACAAUAUCAAAAAUAUAACAUGUCCAUACAUGAAUCAUCAUAACUAAUGAUCAUCCAGAAAAAAUGAACUAUAGCAUGAGCAUCCACACAUUGUUGAAAAAACCAAUUGUGAACAACUCAUAAAAAAUAUCUAAACUGUUUGGAACACAAAGAAUGUGCUUCUUUUCAAAGUAUCUGAUGUGCUCACCUUUUGACAUGUGAAGGAUACCUACUAUAGACAACAGUACAGUAUUUUGAAGGGCCUCAGAAAUAUCAGUAGUUGCUAAAACUUCUUUUGUUUAAUAGGCAAAUCAGUAACUGCUAAAAUCACCCUAAAAGUGAAAAACAAGACAUAAUAGAGUCGUACCCAUUCCAAAUAAAAAUCAAAAACAAUAUCAUAGAAAAGUAAAAUAGAUAUUCGCAUAUGUUUUUCUGAUUAACAUCUAGUCCACUUAAAUGAAAAAAGGGAAACCCUUACACAAGCUUCUUUGCAGCAUAUAUAAAAUAAGACAACAUUAGCAAAACUAAGACUUACAGAAAGAGCGUCUGAGACAUGCUCCAGAUGCUUUUUCAAGUUUGUAACCGCAGUUUCCAUAUUCUUCUUCGUUACAUACAUAAGAUCUGAUAUUGAAAGACCCUAUACAUUUAAGGAGAAGAGAGAGAGAGAGAGAGAGAGAGAGAGAGAGAGAAUAAGUAAAUAAAGGAACAAAUUAAUCUCUUAGCAUGAAAACUACCAUUUCGAUAACUAAAAAUUAGAACAUUCUGGAAACCUCAACAAUAUUAAGCAUGUGACUUUCUUCGAUCAAGGCACCUUCCAAAGAAGUUUAAAUGUCACUUUCUAGGUUUUGAUCCCAAAAAAAGCAACGUAGAAGACUUGAAAGAUCUUAAGUCCAUCAAUUUUAGAAAGGGGAGUGUAUAAACUUUUACAAAAAGUUUUGGCAAAUAGGCUCAAAACAACAGUGGAAAAGCAGUUUCAACCUAUCAGCAUGCUCUUGUAAAAGGAAAACAAAUUCUAGAUGCAAUUCUUAUUGUUAAUGGAGCGCCCCCUGUUUUGGCGUAUUUUUAUUUGAUUUCUUCUCUGUCUAUCAAAAGAAAAGCAAUUCUUAUUGCUAAUGAGGCCACUGAUUUAAAGUUAAAGAGCAUCAACAUGGAGGUUAUCUGCAAGAUCGACUUCAAGAAAGGAGUACGAUCACAUCAACUGAGAAUUCUUAAUUAUGGUUUUGGUCAAAAGCAGAUUACAUGGAUAAAAUGGUGCAUAUCCACCACAUACUUCUCUGUUCUAUUUAAUGGGAACCCAUUUGGCUUCUUUCAAAGCCCUAAGGGUUUAAGGAAGGGAAAUCCUAUUUCCCCUUAUUCAUUUUGACGAUGAAGGCUCUCAAUCAGAUUCUGAGUAGAGCUAGGGAAGGGAGUUCAAUUUCAGGAUUUAAGGUGGGUCAAAUGGGAGGAGAGUGGAUGAAAGUGCCUUAUCUUUUGUUUGUCUUCUUGUCGAUGAUACCCUAUUUCUUUGUGACACCAAUCAAGGGUAAUUGAAACAUUUGAGUUGGAAGUUGCCAAUUAGGGGACUAACUAAUGUGGAGGGAUUAGCUUCUAUGUUGAGCCAUAUAGUGGGGAAGUUGCCAACUACCUAAUUGGGCCUCAGGUUUUUCCCAAGAUUUUUUGUGAGAGGUAUCCCCGCCCCAUGUAUUGAGUUAUGUAGUGGGGAAGCUGCCAACUACCAAUUUGGUCCUCCCUCUAAAUCAUCAUGGGUGUAGGAAGCAGUGGAGGAGAGAUUUCGAAAAGAUUGGUGUUGUGAAAUAGGCAAUAUUUAUCUAAAGGAACACUUAGUAUGAUUAAAAGCUCAUUAUCAAGUCUUCCAAUCUAUUUUGUCUUUGGUCAUUAUUUUGAGAAGGAUAAACUAAAGUCUAGAGUAGAUCCAAAGAUUUUUUUUUUGGGGUGAGAGCUUGAAAAAAGGACUCGGUUAAUUGGUCUAUUGCCUACUUAGGGGAAAAAAAAAAAGGACGAGGGCCUUGGCAUUUAUAAUCGAUCCACUUUAAACAAGACCAAGUGGAAGUGGAUAUCCAUAACUGACAAAGAGUUCUCAUAGAUACAUGUCAUAAUAGGGAAGAAUAGAGUAGAGGAAGGAGGUUGGUAUUCGAAGGGUAUGAGGAAUGGCUAUGAAGUAGGGGUGUGGAAGAAAAUUAGAAACAGGUGGGAGGCUAUUAGAAGCAAGGCUUGCUUCAUAAUUUUUUUUAUUUUUUAUUUUUGGUUGAUAGGUAAAAGAAGAUUGUAUUAACAAAAAAAAAGUAUACACAACGUAUACAAAGCAACCAGAAGCGCAAAAACACAAAAACCACCAACCGCAUCCUAAAAAGGGCCUAACUAGUCUAUGAAGUCUAACAUCAACAAAGAACCAUCCCCAAUGUACAAUCUAACUCAAUCCCAAAAAUGAUACAAAAAAGAACUUUUAAUUGUUUGGUCUAAGUGUUCACAGUUCAAAGGCUCUCCUAUUCUUUUCCCUCCAAAUGGUCCAAAAUAGGCAUAACAUAGCAAUCCUCCAAGCCUUUUCUUCAUUUUUUGCCAAUAAAGGAAUCACACCAACUCAAGAGCAUCCCUCUCACUAAAUAGUGCAUCACCAAUUGUACAUCAAAUAAAGCAAAAAAUCAAUUGCCACAAAAUGUGUGCUUUUGGACAAUGUAAGAGGAUAUGAUCACUUAUUUCUUCUUCUACUUUGCACAUAUAGCAUCUAUUCAACAUCCUCCAACCCCUCCUUUUGAGCUGCUCCUGAGUCAAAAUCUUGGCCUAAGUUGCUUCCCAAACAAAGAAACUAGCUCUUACAGGGACCCAAGAAUUCCAAAUUGGACCAUAAGGUAAUGACUCCACCCUCCUGCUUGCUAAGGAGGAGUAAAAAGACUUAACUGAGAAGUUACCAUCUUUGUCUCCAUCCACACCAUAAUAUCAUCGAUAUCCAAACAAAUGGAGUGAUCAUACAACCUCUUAAAAAAGACAUCUACCUCCUCCAACUCCCAAUCAUGUAGCUAUUGGAUAAACUUAGGACCCCAACUACUAUCGUCUCAAACAUCAAUCACACAAGCAUCUUUUGAAGAAGUUAUAGAAUAAUGAUCCGGAAAAGAGUCCCUCAAAGGCAUGUCCCCACACUACUUGUCCUUCCAAAACUUCACCCUGUUCCCAAAACCAAUCUUAAAGCUUGAUUUAUCUUUGAAAGUCUCUCAUUCAUUUUUUAUUGUCUUCCAAACCCCCACUCCAUCUCUCUCUCUCACUUCUUUAGUGCACCACCCCCCUUCUUCUUGUCUAUACUUACCAACAAUUAUCUGUUUUUGAAAAGGGUGCCCUUCACUCAUAAAUCUCCAAGACCAUUUCCCCAAAAGAUCCUUGUUAAAGAUCGAAAGGUUUCUAAUGCCCAAUCCCCCUUUCCAUUUAUCCAAACAAAUAAUAUACCAAUUCACCAAAUGUGGCUUAUUGGCCACAAGCGCCCCCUCCUCUCCCCCAAAAGGAAGUCUCUCUAAAUCUUCUCCAAUCUAAUAGCUAACCUCUUAAGGAUGACAAAAAGAAACAUGAAAUAAAUCAAUUAGUCGGAUAAGGUACUCUUUAUCAAUGUCUGUCUCCCGCCUUUUGAGAGAUAUUGUCCCUUCCACAAAGCAACCCUUUUCUGGAAAUGUUCUUCCACCCCCCCACCCGCCUCUCUUCCCACACCCUAAAGGACUUGUACGGGGCACCCACCUUGCAUCCCAAAACCACAGCAAGCUCCUCCAAAUUUUAGACUUCCCCCAUUGGAAUCAAUUCACUUUUCUCCAGAUUAAUCUUUAGCCUGAAAAUUGCCUCAAACCACAUGAAAACCCAGCUCACGCACUCUAACUUCUCCUUACUAGCAUCACAGAGAAUGAGGGUAUCAUCUGCAAAUAACAAAUGAGAGACCUCUACUCCCACAUCAUCUCUUUCUCCAACUAAGAAGCCAUCGAUAAAACCCCCUUCCUUUGCCCUGAUAAGGAGGUGAGAAAGAGUCUUCAUCAUGAAGAUGAACAAAUAAGGAGACAAAGGGGCCUCCUUCUCUCAACCCCUAGAGCUUUGGAAGAAGCCAAAAGGGGAUCCAUUUAACAGGACAAAAAAACAUAUUGUAAAGAGACCAUCUAAUCCAUCUUAUCCAUUUGCAACUAAACCCCAUUCUCUCCAAAACCACAAGGAUAAAACUCAAAUUAACAUGGUCAUAACUCUUUUCAAUGCCAAUCUUACAAAUGAUUCCUCUCAAGUUGCCUUUAACUUCAGAAUCAAUGGCCUCGUUUGCUAUCACAACAACAUCCAAAAUUUGCCUCCCCACCACAAAAACAUGCUAAAAAUCUGAGACUAAGUUUCCCACCACCUUUUUAAGUCUGUUAGCGAAGAGCUUGUAUAAACCUCCUACCAAGCUAAUAGGUCUAAAGUCCUUUAAAUCUUCUGCAGCACCAAAACUAGAAAUGUGGCGUUUAAACUCCUCUUAAAGGUCUUUAGCUCAUGGAAUUUCUCUAAAACCACCAUAACCUCUUGUUUCACAAAGUCCCAACAAAAUUGCCAAAAACCCAAGGAGACGUCAUCCGGUCCAAAGGCCUUAUCACCACUUAAGCAAGAUAAAGUUGCAAAGACCUCCUCUUCAGAGAAGGGAAUCUCUAGAGCUUGGGAAUCAUCACUAGCUAAGGAAUCAAACACCAACCCAUCAAUGUUCGGCCUCCACUUCCCUACCUUGGAUAGAACCAUGUGGAAAGCAUUUGCUACACCUUCUUUAAUAAUGUCCUCCCCAGAAAGCAAUACAUCAAUCACCCUUAACUUGUCCAGAAAAAUCCUUCUUUGACGAGCAUUGGUCAUUUUAUGAAAAAAUCUAGUAAUCUUAUCCCCUUCUUUUAGCCGAAGUUCUCUUGAUUUUUGUCUCUAAGAGAUUUCCUCCAAUUCUGCCCAUUUUUUUAAAUCGUCCACCAUCCCCCUUCUAACCUCACAUUCCUCCACUGUAACAGGUCUUUCCCUUUCCUUUGCAUCCCACAACCCUAAUUGUGUCAAAGCCUCAAGCUUUUUUGUGGAAGAGUCUUGCCCAAUAUUAUUUUCUGUAAAAGCCACCAAAGAUGAUUGGGUAGUAAAGACAUGGGAGCACUUUAAGGAGGGGGGUUAAUUGAGUCCCCAUUUUUUAUUAUAAUUCAAUGAUUGGGAACUUGAAGAAGGAGAAAUCUUUUUACAAAAAGUGCAUAUAUGUUUAAUUAGAGGUGAUAAGGAAGAUAGGUUGAACGAGAAGGAAAUCAAAUGUGGCAAGUUUUCUAUUGGAUACUCUUUGCCUCCUUAGCCAAAGGAAGAAGAGAUUCCUUUCCUACAAAAGCAUAAUUUGGAAUUCUUGGGACAGUAGGGUUAUUUGCAUGGAAAGCGACAUGGAGAAUUGGCUCAUAAAUUACUCUUUAUAACAAUUAGAAAAAAAAAAUCAAUUCCACUCUUUCCAAAUACUGCAAAUAAGUACAAAGGGAUCAUCCACCCCAUGCUCUUCCUUCUGUUGCCAAUAAAGUUAUCAUGCCAACUAUCCAAGGUCUCCUUAAAAAAAGGGAGGCAAAACCCAAUGAAACUAUAAUAGAGCAAAUAACAAAGACCACAAACUAAUCAGGAUAUGUUUUGCUAAUUCCCCCAUUGAGUAGCAAAUUAGGAAGAAUCUCGUCCCUUAUAAGUUGGCCAAUCAUUAGCAUUUUCUCCUUGAUUGCUUCCCAAAUGUAUUAUUAAAAAAAACAAUCCCAAUUUUACUUAUUAGAAAAAAAAAACAACUAUCCCAACUCUUGGAAGGAGCAUAAGUACCACCAUGUUCCUAGCCAAAAAUGUACAAAAAGUCUCCAAGCAAAACCAUUUGUGGAAAAAAUUCAUAGAAAAGCACUUUCAUUGGGACAAUCCCACAUUAGGCUACUUUUCCUCCCACCAACAAUCACUGCAGAGUGAAUAAACUCUAAAACAACUCUACUAACUACAAAUCCCAAUUGUAAAACUCAUCAGGAUCAAGGAUUCAACAACCCUGACUACCCUCCUCAUGGCCCAAAAGAAAAUCAACCAAGCAACUUUGUUGCAGCAAUGUUGGGCAAAUCUACAAAAUAAUCUUUCAAGGUGUACCUCCCAUAAUGUGCAUCAUCCUAAAACCCAGUCUUAGUCUCAUUGAUCACAAAAAUGCUUGAAUUAAAUAUCAAAGCAACCUACUUCUUCUAAUAGUGUUCCGAAGGCCAACACUGCCAGACUUACCAAAUGGCUUAUCAAGACAAUUAACCACUUACCAAACAAGGUUUUAUUGGGCACCAAGUUACCAACAAGCUUCUAAUACACAAGCCACCAAUGACCUUAUCAAAAGAAAACAAUUUACCACCUAACCUAGUGAAUUUUGCACUCCAUUAAUCUCAAAAGAAAGCAAUUUAAACCUUUAGGCCUAAUGUAGACCACUAGAAUCAUAAAAUAAGAAAUAAAUAGAUUAGCAGGUAGGCAAUGAUACAUUUUAUGUGUAAUUCACCCCGACUAAUAGGCAUUAAAGAGACAAGUCCCCUCUUAAGGUAAUCCUCAACUAAAUUCCUCACACAAGCAGCCUCCAACACAAAUCCAAGUAGACAACAACUUUCCAACCUUACAACCAUCUACAUUCAAAACAUCUACCUCUGAAAUGAGCUCAUUUUUUUUCACAUUGACUUUUUAGACCAAGCACCAACUUAAAGAAAAUAGGAACUCACUGAUAAGAUGAAAAGUAUUCCUUUGAAAAUUGUGAAGAAUAUUUGUGGAUUUGAAUCUUCAUCUAUAGUUUAAUUGAUGAUCAAUUUGGGACUGUUGAGGAAUAACUAUGAAUUCAAAAAAAUAGAUUGGGAAUUUAUUUUAAGAUUUUUAAGUAAAUAUGAUUUAAAUGUCUAUUUCAAAAAAGAUUAUGAAUCAAAGAAAAACAGAAAAGGAACACUUGGAUUGGAUUUAUCAAAAAAAAAACCACUUGGAUUGGAUCCUCUUAGGUUGCCAAACUCCACAAAGAUUGGGUGACUAGAGCUCCUCUCUGUGCUCUGUAGAAUCCUUCAGAUUUAUUUUGCUAAACCCUAUUUGACAAUCCAGAGUCAUGUCAUUGUAAUCCUAAAUUGGCCAAUUAGCAGAGAGCAGUUCUUUUUCAAUUUUCAAAACGUAAUUUUGUCAUAUCCACUGGUGAAUCAAAAUUACCAGUAACAUGUUGAUUCGGAUUGGAUCCUCUUAGGCUGCCAAACUCCACAAAGAUUGAGCUCCUCUCUGUGAUCUGUAGAAUCCUUCAGAUUUAUUUUCCUAAACUGUAUUUGACAAUCCAGACUCAUGUCAUUUAAUCCUAAAUUGGCCAAUUUGAAGAUAGCAGUUCUUUUUCAAUUUUCAAAACGUAAUUUUGCCAUAUCCACUGGUGAAUCAAAAUUACCAGCAACAUGUCAAUUUGUUCUUAUCAAGAAAUGUAAGGAAUUCAACAAGAAUGAAAGAUGGAAACACUGAAAUACUUGAAAGGUGUCUCUGUUUUUUGUUCCUGCUUUCUUCUUCCCAUUUAAUUUUCAUUUGGUUAUCAAAUACGUUCUUUUGUCUUUUACAUAAUCAUGCAACAAUGAUCGUCUAAAACAUGAUGGAUUUCACAAAACCCCAAAAUAAAUCCUAAACAUGGUGCUUUUUUGUUAUUUUUAAUAACUGACAACCUGUAACAGGGGUGCCCCUUCACUACACUUUCCCCAAGCAAAAGAGAAACGAGGAAAAAUAUCCACAACUUAUUAUCAUACCUUCCACCACAUGUAACCAUAUCCCAAUGCCCCCAAGGUGGCAGCUGGGAUUGCAAGUGAUGUUAUGUUGCCUGAUAAGACAAUAAAAAAGGAUUAUGUUAAAUCAAUAACAACAGACUUGACCAGAAAAAUGCCAUGUGUGCAAGAGAAAAAACAUGACAUGAGUAUCCACAAGUAAAAAUUUGCAACAGUUAUCCAUUGACCAUCUUAAACAGAGGUGGAAAAUUGUAAGAAUUAUUUAAAUAUAUAGUACCAAUUUGGCCAGAAUUCCCAUUUAGAACAGUUAUCUGUCGAGCUGAGGCAAGUUGUUUGACCUCCAUUGCUAACCGACGGACCUAUAAGAUAGUCACACGGGACAUCCAGCAAAACAAAAUAAACAAAUGAAAAAAAAAAAAAAAAAGAUGCAUGAAGUUGCAGAAAAUAAAUAUCCCAACAGGAAGCACAUAUUCUACUACUGAAUCUAUUGAUCUACACUAAAACCCAAUACCCCAGAGGAAAUACCAAUUCAAAAAACACACUGCAUCCCAGGAAAAAAAAAUUAUAAUAGCAAGUUUGAUGAAUCAAUUUAUAUAAGUCAGCAUGAUCCUUAAACUAAGUGCUAAAAGAGUCUUCUCCUGAUGGAUCUGCAUGGAAACUGAAGUUCCACAACUGCCAGCAGCUAGGAAGAAAGAACCCAGCGAAGGGCUGCAGCACAGAAAAAGCCCUUGGCCUCUUUCACGGAAAUUUCUGAUGAUGAUGUAUGAUGAAAAUUUUGAGGUAGAAGAAGUAUCUGCCCUGGACACAAAAAAGAAGGGAGGCAGAAAACCCGCUGCAAAUGCCAAGGCAGCUGCUGGUAAGCCAGCUGCUACUGCAAAGAACAAGAGAGGAGCAGCCAACAAGCAGCAGCCUCAGCUACUGGGCCAGACACUGCUAACUGAAAUCUUCAAACCGGCAGAGACCUUGGGAAUCUCUCCAGAGAAGAAGGUGAGGAAGAUGAGGGCAUCACCAUUUAACAAGAAAAGUGGAUCUGUGCUGGGCAGCAGUACUGGGGAAGAAGACGAGACAGCUGAAACCAAAGAAAAUUCAGGCUCUGCUUCUACUUCAAACAGCAGCUCAGGAGGGGAACCAAAUGAAGUUGUGAUGCCAACAAGGACUAGACCACAGAGGGCGAACUGUGUGCAGACAAGGUACAUGCUGACUGCUAAGUGACUCUGAGAGACAAACCAACCGCUGAUUCAGAAUUUGAUGGAGAAGAUGACUAAAUCUAUGGUAGAGUGGUUGGUUGGUUUAAGUCUGGAGGGAAGGCUAACUGAAAACUGAAGUUUGAAUUGGGAAUUUGGCUUGUUUCCCACUUGAGUUGUAAUUGUAGUUGUUGAUGAUUAUCCUAACUGAAAGUUUAGAUAAAAAAAAGUGCUAAAAGGGAGUUUUAUUUGACUUGAACCAUUCUUUCUUUCUAGUACUACACUGCUUUCCCGUAAACAUACCUGGGCAGCAAUAGCAUCAGAAUAGUCAGCUUCACCAUUUGAUGAAUCCCCUUUUUUCUCCAAUCCUUUCACCAAUGACUGCCCAUAAAAAAUAGAAACCAAUUGUUACGGCACAUAGAGGGUGUAAAUCAUGUUACUAAUGCUUUGUUUGGUUCGCUGGGAAACUUGUGAAAACAGAAGAAAUUAAAACGUAUCAUUCGAUACCCAAGCCAACACAAUAUGUCAAGGUUCCCCUUUUCUCUUUUUCCCAAUUUUCUUAUAAGCCAAACAGACCGUUAAAUUCCCAAAAAAAUAAAUAAAUAAAUAAGUAAUAUUUAUACAAAAAAAAAAAAAAAAAACUAGUAAUAAGAAGAAGAAAAUUUGUUUUUCUUCAUUGAUGUGCAAUUAUCAAUAAAUAAAGAAUAAUGGCCAAAUUUAAACAACAAACAGUAACCCAAUAUAACAAAUCUAAAAUAAAAUUACCUGAAGUUCACCCAAUAUAUCCGACAAUUUGCCAUUCUUGAGCAAGAUCGUACUGGUGUAUCCUGUAGGAAGAAAGUAAAGCAAAGAUAAGAAGAUGAGAACUGGACUGAACGAAGAAUUGAGGUGAUGAUGGAAAUGGAUAAUCCCUUAAUUACCUGCUCCAACCAGGAUCAGGAUCUUUGAAACCCCUACACCAGUUUGCAUCGCCAUCGCUGAUCGGGUGAUCAGAAGCCCUAAUUUUUUUGGUUCUUGGCCUCUGGGCGUGGAAUGUGAUAUGAGAAUACGAAGACGACGUCGUUUUGAGAAAAAUCCCGUCCGCUGUUUUAUUAAGGUCUUUGGUCAAGCCUUGCGGUAUCGAGCCUGCCUUCCGGCGGGGACUUUCCGGAAAAGUACGGUCGCUUUUAGAAAAAAAUUACUUGAAAUAUUAUAAAAACGCUAAAUUAAAUUACUAAACAGCGUCUCACGAAUAAACUCAUACAUUUUAGCAUUAUAAUAAAUGAAAAUUUUAAGUCAUAUUUGAUAAUAAUUUUUUAAAACCAUUCUCUAUUUUUUUUAUUAAAAAAAAAAAGGAAAAUAUGUUUGUCCAUCAGAAAAUAAAAAAAGUUCUUAAAAAUAGAAAAUAUGGUGUUUUUUUAUAAUAUUUUUUUUACUUAUUUUCACUUUUUUUAGUAUUAUUUUAAAAAAUAAUAAUAUAAAUGCGGAAUAUGUUUAAAUAAAAAACACUACACAUAAAAAUUAUUUUUAAAACAUAUUUAAAAAUAUAGAAAGCGCAUUGAGAAUAUUUCAAGUUGUCAAACAAACUUUUAUUUUACAAAAUAUUAAAGAACAAUUUUUAAUUACUAUUUCAAAAAAUAUCUCCCCAACAGAGCCUUAUAAUUGUCAUGUGAGUAUUAAAAGAUAAUGGCUUAAUAAUCUAAGAAAUUAUUUAUUGCUUUUAGCCAAUAAUUCUUACAAUUUUUUUUUAAAUAUCAUUACUUUUAGCAAUGGUAUUAUUUAUUUUUUAUUAUUUGUUAAUUCAAGGUUUCUUAAAAAUGAUUUUGAUGAUAAAAAAUAAACAACGUUAAUUAACCCUACUCCAAGAAGAAAGCAUGACUUGAAUAAGAGGUGUAAGUAAAACCGAGAAAAAACCGACAAACCAAUCAAAAUCGAUUAUAUUGGUUUAAUUUUCACUAAUAAAAAAGGUUGGUUCCAUUUGAAAAUUUUGAAAAUUGACUUUAUGUAUUUGGCUUCCAAUUUUCUUGUCUUUUAAUCGAUAAAAAUCAAACCAAAUCAAUAUUUUAAAACUUAUAUAUAAUUGUUUAAUGUUUGAUAAGUUUUUUUAUAUUAGAUUCUGUAGGGACCCCUCCCCCUGAUGACAUGUGGCACAUACUUCCUGGUGACACGUGGCACGCAUUCUCAUCCGGAUUACCCCCAUCCGGAUUUCCCCAAGAGUACACGUGGCGUGCUUCUCCUAUCCGGACUCCCUUAAGGAGAGGCACAAAACACUCACAAACAUAACAUCCGAACGACCGCCACAUCACAUCCGGACGAUCGACAUAUCCUAUCCGGAUAUGUUUUGUUCGGAUCGUUGACCGAAGUAAGCAAGUCUUGCACGUCAUCCCAACAACCUGCCACGGCCCACGUUCCGCCACCUGCAAAGUGAAAGGACAGGAAUGAAGUGACGGCAAGUCACUUCCCACGAUCUCUAACAGUCGCGACUCCUCCCACGAUCUCUGUCAGCCGCCCGUAGGGUGAUGAUGACCCUGCCACCACCUAGUGGCAUCAUGACAAGCCAAAAUAUCUCCCUACCAUUAAAGAGGAAAACAAAGCUUCUGGUACUAUAUAUAUGAACCUUCACACAAAGAGAAAGGUGAGCUUGAUAUACCCAGUAAAAAGCCAACUGAUUUAUCUCUCCUUCCAUGGCUAACAAAACCAUCGGAGGGUGUGUUUGGACACCCUGUCCGGAUGCCUUUUGCAAGAAUGACUGAACUAGGAAUCUAUAUUGGUUGAGAUCGUGCGUCCAUCCAUUUGGUAACUACGUGGAUCACCAGGAGCAUGAGGCCUUAACAUUGACGUCGUUUGUGGGAAAGUCGCUGAUUCAGUCACCAGCAAAGAUGGUCACAUCUUCCCGAAGCAGUUCAUCUGGGAGGGGAGAGGAAGAUAAUUUUGAAUGGCGCCGAGCCAUCGAAAGAAGACAGUUGGCAAGCGAACGACAACUGCAAGCUCUCUUCCAAGAGACAGAAAAGUUAAGAGAAGAAAACGCGGUGCUACGCAUCCAGGCUUCAUCGACGGGGCCUCUCCAUCGUCAGCGUUCAAGAGGCCAGAUAGCAAACUCAAGGCCAGAACCAGAGUCAAUAUACCCUGGGACAACAGAAGCCGUCCCAAAAACAAGCAACGUUAGGCCACAUGAGCCACACACUCCCAUGCACCGAGCUUCUCGUGAGGAAGGCUCAGACUCUACUCAUUUUUUAGCAAAAAGACAACGCGAUAAAAGGCUCUAGUUGUCAAACUCAAUGCGCGCGAGACUAGACCCACAAGAACCUAGGAGGCCAAGGCCGCCAGUAGCCACAACCUGGGGAGCGCACCUUAACCCUAGGGUGCAGAACGUUCAACCGCACCUAGCGGUACGACAAGCUGGGAAAAGCUUCCCAAAUGAGCCACCCAUUGGCUCCAUCAGCAAAAGGCUGGACGACAUGCUCUCCACGCCUUUCUGCUCUCAUAUUAUUCAUUACGAGCCCCCAAGGGGAUUCCUCGUACCCAAAUUCUCCACAUACGAUGGGUCCAGCGACCCCUUCGAUCAUAUCAUGCAUUAUCGACAGCUCAUGACUCUCGAUAUAGGCAACGACGCGCUACUAUGCAAAGUAUUUCCCGCCAGCCUACAAGGGCAGGCCCUCUCAUGGUUUCAUUGUCUACCUCUCAACUCUAUUGACAAUUUCAGGGACCUAUCGGAGGCUUUCGUGGGACAAUACUUAUGCUCCGCUCGACAUAAGCAGAACAUCAGUACUCUACAAAACAUAAAAAUGCAAGAUAACGAAUCCUUAAGGGAGUUCGUGAAACGGUUUGGUCAAGUCGUAUUUCAGGUAGAGGCUUACAGUAUGGAUGCUAUCCUGCAGAUCUUCAAGCGGAGCAUCUGUCCAGACACCCCAUUUUUCGAAUCACUCACUAAAAAGCCUCCAACAACGAUGGACGACUUGUUCAGAUGUGCAAACAAAUACUCAAUGCUCGAAGAUGACGUACGAGCAGCCACCCAACAAGUCUUGGUUGCUGGACAGGCAUCUAGAAGUGGCGCGGAAAGAAGUGCCAAAAUUCCUAACCGGCCAAGGCCGUCCGAUCAAAGGCAGAAAAGGCCAAGUCGCCCGGAAAUGCCGCCCUUCACACCUCUCUCCAUAUCAUAUGAGAAACUUCUCCCUAUGAUCCAAGGCAUGUCUGACUUCAGGUGGCUUAGGCCCCUCGGAACGGACCCAUCCAAAAGAGAUCAUAGUAAGAGAUGUGUCUUCCACAAGGAACAUGGUCACACGACAGAAACAUGCAGGUGCCUCCAUUAUUUGGUCGAAAGGCUCAUCAAGGCGGGACAUUUAAAGCAAUACCUCCGCUCAGAUGCCGGAGGUAGAGAUGCUUCCCAAAACCACAACACUGGAGCCCCCAGGGCCCCGGCUGCCCCCAAAGCUGUUAUAAACUAUAUUAACGGAGACCCAUCUGACGAGGAAUAUGACUCCAAAAGAAAGAGACAAAAGUUGUUGCGGGUCGCAUCGGUACGUGAGCGUAUCAACUCCAUCCGCCCUGGGAUAAUUGGGGGGGGGGGCCCUCACCCCAUAGAUGAGACAAUCAUUUUCCCACCAGUAGACCCCACCCGGAUAUUGCAGUCGCACCGCAACGCACUCAUCAUAUCCCUAGAAAUAGGGGACUUCGACGUGAGACGCAUCAUGGUUGACCCGGGCAGCUCGACCGAUCUUGUGCAAGCAUCGGUCGUUAGCCACAUGGGGCACAGCCUCAUAAGCCUCGAAAACCCUUGGUGAAUCCUAUCCGGAUUCAACGGGUCGUCAACUACUUCCUUGGGAGACAUCGUACUACCGGUCCAAGCUAGCCCAGUCACUCUCAACAUACAAUUUUCGGUGGUACAAGAUUUAUCACCCUUCAAUGUCAUCUUGGGGCGCACAUGGCUACACUACAUGAAAAUCAUCUCCUCUACAUACCAUCAAAUGGUAAGUUUCCUUACCAAGGAUGGGCAAAUUGACCUAUAUGGUAGCCAGUUAGCCGCUCGCCAAUGCUACCAGAUAGCAAGAGAAGCAGAGACCAACCAGGAGGAUGCAUCCCUCCCUGAGUCCGGCCAUGCAUGUGACCAAUAGCAAUUAUUGGGUCCGGCGGACAAAGAUCCCUUGGCAGCGGAUCCCUUGCAAACAAUCCAAAUUUCAGAAGAAGGUACUCACCUUACGAAUAUCAGUUCCCUCCUGACACCAGAAGAGACCCAGAACAUGCAGAACGCCCUCAGACAAAACCAUGACGUUUUCGCAUGGGCACAUUCUGAUAUGAAGAGAAUUCAUCUCUCCAUUACCUCUCAUAAGCUUAACGUCUUGCCAACAGCCAGACCCAUUAGGCAGAGGGUUAGACGUUUCCACCCGGACAGACAAGCAAUUAUCCGGAACGAGAUUGACAAAUUACUAGAAGCCGGAUUCAUCAGAGAAGUAGAUUACUCAGACUGGUUGGCAAAUGUUGUGGUGGUACCUAAAAAAGAAGGCAAAUGGCGGGUGUGCGUCGACUACACUAACCUCAAUAACGCAUGCCCAAAAGACAGUUUCCCUUUGCCACGGAUAAAUCAAAUUGUGGACUCCACUGCUGGGCAAGGGAUGCUCUUUUUCUUGGACGCCUUCUCCGGAUAUCACCAAAUCCUCAUGUCCCCGGUUGACGAAGAAAAAACAGCCUUCAUAACACCACAUGGUCUCUAUUGCUACAAAAUCAUGCCAUUCAGACUCAAAAACGCUGGCGCCACUUAUUAGAGACUGAUGACAAAGAUCUUCAAACCUCUAGUCGGCCGCACAGUAGAGGUAUACAUUGACGAUAUCGUGGUUAAAAGCAAAACUCGGGAGGAGCAUGUCCUCCACUUGCAAGAAUUUUGCACCUCUUAAGGAAGUAUGACAUGAAGCUGAAUCCUUCUAAAUGCGCCUUUGGCGUAAGUGCUGGCAAAUUCCUGGGAUUCAUGGUUAGCCAAAGAGGGAUAGAGGUUAGCCCGAAUCAAGUCAAGGCAGUCAUGGAAACACCACCUCCCAGGAACAAGAAGGAAUUACAACGCCUCACAGACAAGCUCAUCGCGCUAAGGCGUUUUAUAGCCCGCUUCACUGAUGAACUGCGACCCUUCUUCUUGGUAAUACGAAAAGCUGGAACAAGCGGAUGGACGGACAGCUGUCAAAGCGCUUUUGAUAAAAUUAAACAUUGCCUUAUGCAACCACCUAUCCUAAGCAGCCCCAUCCCUAAAGAAAAAUUGUACAUGUAUCUGGCUGUGUUAGAGUGGGCGAUCAGCGCUGUUCUAUUCCGCUGCCCCUCACCCAAGGAGCAGAAACCUAUCUACUACGUCAGUAGAGCAUUGGCGGACGUAGAAACCAGAUAUUCAAAGAUGGAACUAAUGACCUUAGCUCUUCGAAGUGCCGCCCAGAAGCUCUGCCCCUAUUUCCAAGCCCACUCGGUGGUCGUUCUAACUAACCAACCCCUUCGCAACAUUUUGCAUAACAACCGGAAGAAUGCUGCAAUGGGCCAUAGAAUUGAGCGAAUUUGGAAUCGAGUUCCAACCCAGAUUGUCCAUGAAAGGCUAAAUGAUGGCUGACUUCGUGCUGGAAUACUCUCGAAGACCCAUCCAACACAAGGAACCAAGCGAAGAAGAAUGGUGGACUUUAUAAGUCGAUGGAGCCUCCCGAUCGUCAGGAUCCGGGGUAGGGCUCCUACUGCAAUCCCCAACAGGAGAACAUCUAGAGCAAUCCAUCCGGCUGGGGUUCCCUGCCUCUAACAAUGAAGCGGAAUAUGAGGCCAUUCUAUCUGGAUUGGACCUCGCCCUGGCUCUAUCCGUCUCCAAGCUUCGGGUUUAUAGUGAUUCCCAACUUGUGGUAAGACACGUCCAAAAGGAAUACGAAGCUAAGGAUGCGCGCAUGGCGCGAUAUCUAACUAAAGUAAGGGACACCUUACAACGAUUCACCGAGUGGACGAUCAAAAAAAUCAGACGAACUGAAAAUGGGAGCGUCGACGCCUUGGCAGGCAUAACUGCCUCCCUCCCCAUCAAAGAAGCCAUAUUGUUGCCUAUACAUGUGCAAACCAACCCUUCCGUCGCAGAAGCUUCCACUUGCAACACCAUUGAGGCAAAACAAGCAGACGACCAAGAGUGGACGAACGACAUUAUAGGGUACCUUCGGACAGGCACUCUGCCCGAGGAUCCCAAACAGGCACACAAGAUCCGGGUGCAAGCCGCCUGUUUCACCUUGAUUGGGGGGCACUUGUACAAACGGUCAUUCACAGGUCCCUACCUUCGAUGUCUAAAUCAUUCAGAGGCCCUGUACGUAUUAGCUGAGUUGAACGAGGGAGUAUGUGGAAAUUAUUUUGGAGGACGAUCUCUGGCGCAUAAGGCCCAUUCGCAAGGAUAUUAUUGGUCCACGAUGAAAAAAAUGCGGCAGCCUAUGUCAAAAAAUGUGACAAAUGUCAAAGGUAUGCCCACAUUCCGCAUAUGCCAUCGGAGACAUUGAAACCAAUUUCAGGCCCCUGACCCUUCGCGCAGUGGGGCAUGGACAUAGUGGGAACCCUCUCAACCGCACCCACCCAGAAGAAAUUCCUACUCGUCGCCAUGGAUUACUUCAGUAAAUGGGUAGAAGCUGAAGCGUAUGCUAGCAUCAAAGAUAAAGAUGUCACCAAAUUCGUAUGGAAAAACAUCAUCUACCGCUUCGGAAUCCCCCAAAUCAUUAUAGCCGACAACGGUCCGCAGUUUGAUAGUAUCGCAUUUCGGAAUUUCUGUUCGGAACUAAACAUCCGAAAUUCAUACUCCACACCGCGUUAUCCUCAAAGUAAUGGGCAAGCAGAGACCACAAACAAGACGUUAAUCACUGCCUUAAAGAAAAUGAUCGAGCAAGCAAAAUGAAAGUAGGUGGAGGAGCUACCCGGCGUCCUAUGGGCUUAUCGAACCACACCCGGACGCCCGAUAGGAAACACUCCCUUUGCCCUCGCAUAUGGUAUGGACGCAAUCAUUCCUAUUGAAAUAGGGCUACCCACUAUCUGGACCGAGGCAGGACCGCAGGAUGAUACAAAUGAGGAGUUAGGAAGAAAUUUGGACUGGGCAGACAAAGUAAGAGAAACUGCAUCCAUCCGGAUGGCAGACUAUCAACAAAGGGCAUCCGCUCACUACAAUCGCAAAGCAAGGCGCAGAAGCUUCAAAAAUGGUACGCUGGUCCUUAGAAAAGUUUUCGAAAAUACUGUUGAAAUAGAAGCGGAAAAAUUUCAAGCCAACUGGGAAGGACCCUAUAUAGUAUCUAAGUCAACUGAAAGUGGAGCUUAUCAUCUACAAAAGCUAGACGGAACUCCAUUACUCAGACCAUGGAAUGUGUCUAAUUUAAAACAAUAUUACCAGUAAAAGAAAAAGACAAGUACAAAUAUGAAAAAGUAUGUUUUAUUGAUAUUUGUGAAGUUAUAUACAAAGAGUUCUCCGGACUACAAGAUACAGAGAGAAGAUAGUAGUAAAAAAUUACAAAAAGAAAAGCUCUCAUUGAGCAGGCUUGCCGCGCAGCUUCUCCUCCUCACCCGAGGGAAUUGAAGGGACGUCCCGUUUGAUACCAUGUUUCUUCAUACAGCAACGAAAGCCGAAGAAGUACAUUUCAUCUACCUGCUUCUGGUAGUCCGCUUCAAGUUCCUCCCUUUCUGCAGCAAACUUAGCCUCCAGCUCUUCUUUUUGCGCCGAUAAACGCAACUACAAAUCUUUUCUCUGCUUUUUCUCAAUGGACACCUCUGUCCGGAGUUGCCUCACCUCCCCCCUCAGUUGGGCCAUCUCGUCCUCCGCCUCAUGCAGGUGGGCGUCCACCAAUUCCUCCCGGCUCUUUACCUCAACAAGCUCUACCCGGAGAGCCUCGUUAUCUUCUCGAGCAGCGGAUAAACUGGCUUCGGCCUGCUCUAGUCUCAAGCGCAGCUCCUCUUCACUGUUUCUGCGCUAAGAGGCGAAGACCUUCAUAUAAUCGACGGUCCGCAGCAGGUCAGAAAACAGAUCAUGUUGUUGGGCCAUGCCGCGAAGACCGCUCACCAGCUGUAGAAAAACACACAAACAAGAAGAGCAAAGUUACAAACUAUGCCACAAACACAUCAGUAUGGAAAAAAAAAAAAUCAAGAAAGCAAACUAUACCAUUUCCACCGCGUCGAACAUUUUUACUGAAGGCAUAGCAACAUCUGAGCCGGGUGGAAUCCGUUUCAGCUUCUCUUCCAACUCCGCGUAGCUGAAAGAGCUAGCAGAGAUGCAAGCUGCAUCAUCAACGGGAUUCCCCCCUAAUGAGGCAUUAGAGAGUGACUCCUCCUCCGGGUCUGGGGCCCCAUCAUUCUUAGCCGGCUGGGUCUCCUCGGGUGAACCCCCAUCCGGGACUAGAGCUGGGGCAGCUGGGUUCUCUUCUGCCAUCUCCACCUCACUGCCCUCCGGAUGAUCAUCCUGGACGGACGAGCAGCUGACUUCGAUGGUUUCCAAGAAACGAUCCUGAAGCCGUCCGACGAGGCCAGACUUUAAGUCAUGAGCCGGACGAGACCUCCUUGUAGCAAGCCCCUUCAUCGGUACAAAGGCAAGGGGGCUUGGCUCGCAAGGAGGCAAACCUUGACUUUCUGCUCCCAUGUCUUCCGUUGGGGGUGCCAUAGGAGGUGAUGCUGCAGCACAAGAGGCCCCAGCUGCGUCCUCAUCCGGAUGGGGAGAGCCGGGUUGAUUUAUUGAAGUAGUUUCCUCAGCUAGAAGAGCCAGACGUCCAUCCACUGACAAUGAAGGCCCCGAAUGGUUCAACCCUGCGAGGCGUCCGGAGCCGCUUGAGACAGAGGGCAAGGGGGGGACCUCUGACUCUCUUAUUGUUAUUUCCUUUACAUAAGUUGAAGGAGGAAUUACAAACUCCUUCGGGGGAGUUGAGAGUUUUACUUCUUUCCCCUUAUUUGAAACCUUCUUCUUCUUCUUUUUUGCUGGAGCGCCAGCAGGUGGAGAGGAUGCGGGCAGUUUGCCACCCGGAGCCUUCCGCAAAAGUCAUUCUUGCCUUUUCACCUCCCGGUUAUUGAGGCGGGCUUUGCGUGACCGGGCGUCUGCCUUCCGCACCGCCGCGUAGAAUGGAAGGUCUUGAAGAACGAAAUGCUCCCAAGCUACCACCUCUUUGGGCAGUCGCCUAGGGAGUAUGUUCAGCACGUACGAUUGGGGCUCCUGAGUGACCGAACAGAGGUUCUGCGUGGAGAAAAGCGUUUCACAACUCCGCUCGGUCGCCGCAAUCUUGAAAAGCCUGUUCAAACGGUCGAACGAGGCCUUCUCCACCCACUCCACCAGCUUUCCCCUUUUAUCCUGGCCUGCACCCAAGAAAGCAAAGUAUGUCAAUCGCCUAGCAAAUGCUGACCUAAACUCAUAAACCAUGAAAAGACAGGAAGUAAUUCAGUCAUACCUGGGACUUUCAACGAUUGGUUGGGAACAAACGGCCUGUCCGGAUGCACCGCCAAACCCGCCCAUAAACCCUUGACCAGCACAUGACCCUUGGCGGCCCCCUUGGUCGAAUCCGGCAGGUUGGUCACCAACUGCAGGGAUGGAAGGCAAGCGACAAAACUAAAAAUGUCGGUUUUCGCCUUCUUGAUCGAAUAAACGAAGAGAACCUCCAGCAGUGAGAAGUCCAAAUUGAAUAGCAUACCUAGAAUGCUGCACCCCAUCAGCACCCGGACCAUAUUGGGAUGGAUGUAGGCGGAGGAAUCUAGGUGAAGUGAAGAAACUCCUUGAACAACGACGGUAGAGGAAACCGGAGCCUAGCGUUGAACUGCUUCUUGGUAAAGAAGAUAGCGUUGUCUUCAUUCUUCUCAGUUGACAUAGCCUUUCCAUCCAUGAGUUCAACAGACACACUGUUAGGGAUACAGAACCGUUCGCGGAACUCCUUCACACUCAACUUAUCCACAGAUUUAUCGGCAUGAGCAUCUCCGGACGAGCUAGAUGAGGCAACUUCCUUGUUUGCAGACAUUUUUAGGUUGGGACUGGAGUGGAAUUUGCAGGAAAGAAGUACCAAUAGUCAAAACACAGCAAACCGACCCCACAAGCUUAAACUCUACCACAAAAAGUACAGGGGGGGCAAUAGAAAUCCUAAAACACACCCACAAAAACAGUCCAAAACCCCCCGAAAAAGCCCUAGAAACACCUAGUCGCAAGCAACUUGCCCAAGCAAGCCAGAAACAACCAACAAGACAAACACAACAAGAGAAAGACAAGAAAAGCGAACAUACCGAGUGUAAACUGGAAAAAUAGGGUUGAAAACCGCAAUGCAGUCACCGUCACGACGCGAAUAUUGCCGGCAGAAAACCCUAGAGCUUCACUCAAAAACGAAGAUACGUAGAAGGUAGAAGAAAAAGCACUAACAAGAGAAAAGCACAGAUGGAAAAAUGCAAAGUGAGGGCUCAGUCUACUAUUUAUAGGGAGACAACCCCUCGGUAUCCCAAACGCUCAGCUACGCCAUCAUUGAAACGACACGCCGCCUGGGAAUACCCAGAGACGGCGGCUCAUCAUAAAUGUUCUUCUCUCUCUUCGCCCCCGCUCGCCACGUGGCCCAUUGAGCGCAAAAAAGUAACCUCAGUUUAAAAAAACAAUUAUUUUUUAACCUGCCCAUUUUACUCUGGCAAAAUCGGCAAGUUAAAAAGGGGGGCAUUGUAGGGACCCCUCCCUCUGAUGACACGUGGCACAUACUUCGUGGUGACACGUGGCACGCAUUCUCAUCUGGAUUACCCCCAUCCGGAUUUCCCCAAGAGUACACGUGGCGCACUUCUCCUAUCCGGACUCCCUCAAGGAGAGGCACACGACACUCACAAACAUAACAUCCGGACGACCGCCACAUCACAUCCGGACGACCGACAUAUCCUAUCCGGAUAUGUUUUGUCCGGAUCGUUGAUUGAAGUAAGCAAGUCUUGCACGUCAUCCCAACAACCUGCCACGACCCACGUUCCGCCACCUGCAGAGUGAAAGGACAAGAAUGAAGUGACGGCAAGUCACUUCCCACGAUCUCUGACAGCCGCGGCGCCUCCCACAAUCUCUGUCAGCAGCCCGUAGGGUGAUGAUGGCCCUGCCACCACCUAGUGGCAUCAUGACAAGCCAAAAUAUCUCCCUACCAUUAAAGAGGGAAACAAAGAGGAAGGUGAGCUUGAUAUACCUAGUAAAAAGCCAACUGAUUUAUCUCUCCUUCCAUGGUUGACAAAACCAUCGGAGGGUGUGUCUGGACACCUUGUCCGGACGCCUUUUGCAGGAACGACUGAACCAGGAAUCUAUAUUGGUUGAGAUCGUGCGUUCAUCCAUUUGGUAACUACGUGGAUCACCAGGAGCGCGAGGCCUCAACAGAUUCUAUUAAAAUAAUUCAUUGUUUUUAUAUUAUGAUCAAAUUAAUUCUAAAUACAUUCAAUAUAUUUUUAACAUCAAAUCUAAGUUAGUUUUAAUUAAUUUUAAAAACAAAUUAGACUUAAGGCUAAAAGGAAAGGAAGUUGACUUGACACUUCCCAUAUACAGUUUUAGUAGUCAUUGAUUUUGUAAUCAUAGUUCAUAUUCUCUCCCAUUUUUUUCCCUCAUUUUUGGUUGUAAUUAUAGAAAACAUAGCUCAUAUACACACCAUGUACUCUGUAUAAAUAACACUCAAUAAUUUGUGAAUAUACAGAUCUUCCUUUCUACUCAUCCAUGUAACAUGGUAUCAAAGCUCUAAUUGCAAUUAGAGUUCCUUUUCUCCUCAUUUUUUUUUCUCCGCCUUCACCCAUAUCCAUUAUGGUUGAUGUAAUUUCCUCCUCUUCUGAAAAUCCGAUUGUCCUCACCAUAGGAAAUAUCCCAUCUCAGUCACACACCCUUAUUUUAAUCUGGUUGUUCUCUCUCCUUAAGCAAGAUGAAACAAAAAAGGAAACCCCACCUAUCACUGCUCAUUUUCACCAAAGAUAUUCCCUUAACAGUAAAUGGAGCAAUAGAAGCAAUGGAAAUUCUACAGGACUUCCUGGAGGUCAUUCUAAUAAUAAAGGGUCAACCUCUCAUUUUAGCAACAAAAAUUUAUUCGAUAAUCAAGGAAAACACAAUGUCCAAGGCAAUCAAGGUAGUCUCAAGUCACCACAACAUCAUUGGCAUCCUAACCAUGGUAAUAAUCAACGUCGCAUUGUGUGUCAACUAUGUGACAAGGUUGGCCAUAAUGCCAAAGUAUGUUGCUCACAUCCACAGACACAAUUCUCACCUCAAGUUAAUUACAUGGCUAGUGAACUAGUUAGAGGACAUAACACUUGGAUUUUUUUACUCUAAUGCAUCCCAUCACAUAACUUCUGAUCUUCAAAUUCUCUCCCUACGCCUAGAAUAUGGUGGUGAUGAGGAUGUCAUGAUUGGACAUGGUAAAGGAAUUUCUAUAACUCAGGUUGGUUUCACCACACUCAAUUCACCCACAACCACUUUCUCACUUAACAAUGUUUUGAGUGCACCCUUAAUUAAAAAAAAAUAAAAAUCUUUUGUCUGUCUCUCAAUUUUGUAAUCAAAAUAACACAUCUAUUGAAUUUUUUUCUUGACUUUUUCAUUGUAAAGGAUUUGAGCACAGGGGCAUCCCUGGCUCAAGGCCAAAAUAAAAGGCAUGUCUACAAGUGGCCAGCGUCUACCUCACCCUCCCCAACCAAGCCACUAGUUUUUCUCUCCACUACAUCUACCAUGGACUGCUAGCAUUGUCAUCUUGGUCACCCAUCAUCUCAAGUUCUCAACAAAUUAGUUUCUACUAAAGCUUUGCCUGUUAAUAAAUCGAUAAAUUUAUCAUCUCAUUAUGACUCUUGCCUUGUAAUAAAAGUCACAAGCUCCCAUUUGGAACCUCAUCUCUUUCUUGUACUCGACCACUAGAAAUUAUUUAUACAGAUGUUUGGGGUCCUGCACCAAUCAUUUCCUUUGAUCAUUUAUCGUUACUACGUGAUUUUUGUGGACUAUUUUACAAAAUAUACAUGGUUUUAUUCACUUAAACAAAAAUUUGAUAUAACAUCCAUCUUUGAGCGAUUCAAAAAUGUUGUUGAAAACUUAUUUGACACAUCUAUCCAAACUGUCUAUUUAAAUGGAGGUGGAAAGUAUCAAAGCCUAAGUCAUACACUCUCCCACUUUGGUAUUCAACAUCUUAAGUCACCAUCUCACACACUUUAAGUGGUCGGUACAACUAAACGCAAACACUGUCAUGUGGUUGAAACAAGACUUACACUUUUUCAUCAUGCAUCAGUGCCAAUUCGUUUUUUGUCUACUACAUUCCAAAUAGCCACCUAUCUUAUCAAUAAGAUGCCCACACCAGUUUUGAGCUACCAAUCUCCUUUUGAAAAAAUUUCAACAAACCUCCAAAUUUUCAAAAAUUAUGAGUCUUUGGAUGUUUGUGAUACCCUUGGUUCUGUUCCUAUGCACCUCAUAAACUUGAUCCUCAUUCUUGUCCUUAUGUGUUUAUUAGUUACUCCACUAAACAUAAUGCAUACUGUUGCUUUGAUACCUAGUCUAAAAAACACUUUGUUUCCCGUCAUGUAGUUUUUGUGGAGUUUGAGUUUCCUUUUCAAACUAUUUCUCUACAUGAUAACAGGAUUGUAGACCCAAGCCUCUUUAAUUGGCCUCUCAUUGAUCAAUCAACCCAUUUCCAUGUUCCCCACACCCAUACUUUCUCCAACAAUUCACCUACUAACGUUGUUCAUUCGAGCUCAAUUCUUCAAUCCCAUUCCAAGGUUGACAUCUUGCCAGACCCCUCACUAGUAAGCUCGUCAUCACUUCCUCCCAUGUCUUAUCCACUUGACCAUUCCAACUCCCUAUCACCACCCCGGACCACACCAUGAUUACUAAAGCCAAAAAUAAUAUCUUUAAACCCAAAGAAGAAUUUGUAUAGAUUUUCCUAGAACCCCAGUCUAUCCUACCCGAAAGAUAUAAUCUAGAAUCCACUCUCCACCCUUAUUAGUAGUAGGUGAAUAGUGACCCUAUUUGUAUGUGCAUUCACAUGACAAGCAUGUUCCAAGAUCUCCUGCAACAAGAACCUAACACAUGGUUUAUUGAUAGUAAGCUGAUUAAAUAAAUGAAUCAUAGGUUGGUUGAAUAUUGAGUUCGGCUUAGGCUACGUGUUUUGUUCUCAAUUUAACUACCACUACCCCAUCUUCCCAUGAGUCCAUUAAACCCACCACCGUCUCUCAAAGGCAAAAAAUUCUUCAUUGGCACCAAACUAUGAGUGAGGAAUUCGAUACCUUAAUCCAUAACUCCACCUGAACUCUUGUUUUCCUUAACCCCACACAAAACAUUGUUGGGUGCAAGUGGAUUUUCCACAUUAAGCGAAACCCUAAUGGCUUAGUCAUGAGAUAUAAAGGUCAACUUGUCUCCAAAGGAUUUCAUCAAUGACCUAGAAUUGAUUUCUCUAAUACUUUCAGUUAUGUGAUCAAACCAACAACAAUUCAGAUUCUCCUUCAUUUAGCUAUGACCAAUAAUUAGGAUCUAUGUCAAUUGGAUGUUAACAAUGCAUUAUUACAGGAGUCUUUAACUAACGAUGUUUUUAUGUAGCAACCAUAAGGCUUUAUUAACCCUUAAUUCCUAGACCAUGUUUGCAAAUUGAAUAAGGUCAUAUAUGGUCUUCAUCAAGCCCCACGAGCAUGGUACAUGGAGCUUCGCCAGUUCUUACUAUCCAUUGGUUUCAUUAUUUCCAAGUAGGAUAACUUACUUUUUCUCCAUCGUCAGAAGGAAUUCGCCACAUUUCUACUCAUAUAUGUGGACGACAUCUUCAUCAUAGGAACUUUUUCUAAGCAAGUUUAAAGAGUUAUUACUAGUCUUGCUCAUUGUUUUUCACUCAAAGACAUUGGUGUCUUAACGUACUUUCUUGGGGUUGAAGUUAUUCCAACAUCAUCUAGUCUUUUCCUAUCUCAGUAUAAGUACAUACAUGACCUCCUUGCAAAAACCAUUAUGCUUGGUGUCAUUGUAAUCUCAACUCCACUCUCUGCUAUUGUGUUUGUCUUGUUACAUAAUGGUGUCCCGCCUAUCGAUCCUGCCAAAUUUCAUCAAGUCAUUGGAUCUGUACAGUAUCUCUCUUUUACUCGACCUAACAUUUUCUUUGUAGUAAACGAUUUCUCUUAGUUCAUGCACCGCCUAGCCACUAAUCUUUGGUCUGUAGUUAAAAAGGUUCUUCGGUAUCUCAAAAGAGCAAUUCAUUUCUGGCUUCCUUCUUCAUAAGCACUCACCACACACUCUUCAUGCCUUGUGGGAUGCUAACUGGGCAAAAAAAUUUGAUGAUCGCACUUCCAUGUCAGCUUAUGUUGUCUUUCUUGGCUCUAAUCCAAUUAGUUGGAGCUCUAAGAAACAAAAUAUUGUGGCUUGGUCCUCUACUGAAGCUGAAUAUUGAGUUGUUGCCUCCACUACAGUUGAAGUUAAUUGGGUGCAAAACCUUCUCCAUGAACUCAAUGCUCAUAUUGGCUCCGAUCCUCUAACGAUUUACUGCAACAAUGUAAGGGCCACCUAUGUUUAUGCUAAUCUAGCAUUUCAUUCAUGAAUGAAACACAUUGCCAUUGACUUCCACUUUAUUCGAGACUAAGUGUCCAAGAAAUUGCUCCGAGUAUCUCAUGUCCACACCAUUGAUCAACUUGUUGACUCCCUUACAAAGCCAUUAUCACACCUCCAACUUUUGGACCAUCAAUCUUGAGGGAGCAUGAACGGAAAUGAAGUUGACUUAACACUUCCCAUAUAAACAAUUUUGGUAGUCAUUGAUUUUGUAAUCAUAGUCCAUAUUCUCUCUCAUAUUAUUUCCCUCAUAUUUUGUUGUAAUUAUAGAAAACACAACACAUAUACACACCAUGUACUCUUUAUAAAUAACACUCAAUAAUACGUGAAUAUACAAAUUUUCCCCUAUGCUCAUCCAAUUAACAAAAGUCUAAUAUAAACACAAAUUAAUGGGUUUUGGGUUCAAAGCAAAUACAAAUUUCCUGUUGGGUUGAGGACUAAAAAAGACCAUUAAGUUAGAUCAAAAUCGAUCCAUAAAAACCAAACAAAACCAACUUUAAAAUGAUUGGUUUGGUUGGUUUUGUUUUUUCACUUCAAAUUUGGUUAGUUUGGUUUCUUUUACAUAUAAAAUUGGUUAUAUCGGUUCACUUUUUACUUAAAAACCAACUGAGCCAAUCUUAUUUACAUCCCUAACUUGAAUCCUUGUUUCAAGAAUUUUUAAGAAAAUUAUAAUUAAGAAUUUAUACAAGAGUUAAUUAUUGAAUACCAGGACUCAAUGCAAUAAUGACCUUGAAGGGUCAUUUAUUAAAUUUUCAUGAAUCAACCAACUUAUAAGAUGAGAAUUUUAUCUUUUGAUUUAAACUUUUUUUUUUCCCAUUACUCAUUUUGCUUCCAUAUAAUUGAAAAAAAAAAAAAAAGUAAGUCAUGAGGUUAUAACAUUACNNNNNNNNNNNNNNNNNNNNNNNNNNNNNNNNNNNNNNNNNNNNNNNNNNNNNNNNNNNNNNNNNNNNNNNNNNNNNNNNNNNNNNNNNNNNNNNNNNNNAAAAAAAAAAAAAGUAAGUCAUGAGGUUAUAACAUUACCUUUUAAUUUACCUUUUUUUUUUUUUUUAAUUACUCCUUUGCUUACUUAUGGUUGAAAAAAAAUAAAAAGGGAAAAAAUAAAUAAAUAAAUAAAUCAAGAAAAAUAGACCAAAGGAAAUUAAAAAAUAAAAACAAAACAAUAUAUAAUUUUUUCUUAUUUUAUUAUAAGAAAUUGAAUUAUUUUAAAUAUAUUUUUAUCAAUUUUUUUCCAAAAAUUUGAGAUUUUUAUAGAGAACUCAAUAAAAAAAAUGAUUUUCAAUUUCUCUUGAAUAAAAACCAAACCCUAAAGUUACAUCAUUUUAUGCAUAUAACAACAAAUUUUAGCAAUUGUUAAUGACUAAGUAAAAAUUUUGUUAUCCUAAUAGAACGAGAAAUUGUUUUCCACAAGCACUCUUCAAUUGAAAAAUAUACAAAUAAUCGCUUGGUAGUAUAGCACAUUAAACAAUUCAAAAUUUUCUAAAUUAGGUUAUUUCAUAAUGUAUUAUAAUAUUAGUGAAUCGACAAAUCAUACUAGUAUAUUAACAUUAUUCACUCAAUACAUUGACAUUGUUUAAUCAUUUUUAUAAAUAAACAUAUAAAUAAAAUUACAAGUCUUAUGAAUUCAAAGUAGUACUUCAUUUGGUUUCAAAGAUGGUUCAUAAUAUAAGUAUGUAAGGAGUAUAGUAUAAUCAUACAAAAUUGUCAAUUUCAUAAAUAAAUAAAAAAAAAUUAAAUUUUCUCAAUUGGGUAUUGUUGUGAUAUUAGUAUAUUUAUAUUACAAGUAUAAUAUAUUUUUGUGGCACAUGUAUUUUACAACAAAAGUAAUAAUAUUAGAGAUUUUUUUUUUAUACCUCAUUAACAUCCAAACUUCAUAUUAGUGUAUUAACACCAUCCAUUCAAUGCACUAAAAGAAAAAAAAUCAAAAUUAUAUAUAUAUUUUUAAAAAUAUUUUAUUAUAAAAAAACUAAGACAAUUAAGCAUUCUAUAUCCAUUUCUAAUUUCUUUGGACAACCGAGGUGAAAAAUUAGAGAUUUUGUUAUCAUCAAACUUAAUAUAAAAAUAUAAUUUAUCAAUUUAAAAUUAGAAAAAACGUAAUACUAGGAAUUUUUUUCAAAUAAAAGUAAAAAUAGAAAUGUGUUUAAGCAUACAUUAGAUUCUAUUUUGAAAAUAUUUUUCAAAAGCAUUUUGAUCUUAAAUAUCAAAUUAUACCAUCAUCAUACAUUCCAAUUUGUAAGGGUAAAAAGCCAAAAUUUUGGUUUAAAAAUUAAGUGUUUAUUGGUUAUAGCUAAUAUGGGGCCAUUUAAAUGCCCUGAAAAAGUUUCACACGCUAAUGCCCUAAAAAAUUUCACCCAACUUUUAGUUAAAGAAUAUUUAUGAAAUUUUAACCUAUUAUUUUACUCAAUAGCCUUUGAGAGAAUUUUUCCAACGUGCCCCUACCUUCCCUGAAAAAUCCACUGUGGUUGUAAGAGAUUUAAGGGUGAAAUCCUUUUUCCCUACUGUUCAAGUGAUUGUUGCCUUGGAAGAUAAUCCUAACAAGCCUCACAUUGAAGCAAGUUCCAUUAUUGGGUUGCAGGCGAUGGAAUUGAACUAGCUUAGGCUCUUUCCCUACGACUAGGAAGAAAGAAAAUCCUUAUUCAUAAGUUAUUUUUUGUGUCUUGUCAUGCACUAAAAGUUAUUAAGAUAGAAUUAUUAAGCCUUUGAGAAGUAUAAGGUCCGCUAGGUUAAGGUGCGUCAAAUUGCAGUGCAUAGGAUUUGAUGGUGCUUAGUCUUAUUUUAACUUAAGAUGCAUAACUUAAGUGUGCAUAAGUUUUAUGUUAACCUAUGAUGUGCAACUUAAGUAGUGCAUAGGAUUGGGUGAUCUGUAACUUAUGGUGUGUAGGCUGUCUAAAACAUGACUUACAUAACAUAACUUAAGAAGAGUAUGGGAUUCGAUGGUGCAAGGUUAGUGGUGUGCCAACCUCCUUGCUUCUUUAGGUGCGUAACUUUGAGUUAUGCCAUAGGUGUGCAACUUUGAGCCUAGUCUUCAACAAUCCAAUACCUCAACAUAGUUAAAAUAAAGAUAAUAAAAAUCUCAUUUGAAUGUAAAAUAAAGACAUUUACUUUAAGUUUAAAAUGUAAAAUAAUGGAAUUCUCUCAUUUGAAUCCAAUAAAAAUAUAUUUAGAUGCUAAUUUUAUGUAAAUAAAAAUCUUAAACCUUGUUUGGAAACUAUUUUUUAAAACAGUUUUGUCUAUUCUCGAGAACAAAAAAAAAACCAUAAACAAAGUAUUUUUUAAGUAACAUAUUUUUAGUUUUUUUCACUUAUUUUAUAAGCGUUGUUUUAAAAAAUAACUAUAAAAAUGUGGAGAAUGAUUAAAAAUAUAUUAUUACAAAAAAAGUAAUUUUUAAAUUAUUUAAAAUUAUAAAAAUAGGUUAAAAAUAUUUCAAGUUUUCAAAUAAACUUUUGUUUUAUAAAACAUCAAAGAACAAUUUUUAAAACUAUUCUCAAAAACUAUUUUUGAAAUUUGAAAAAGAUUCUUAUUUUCCAAUUUGAUUUAUAAAUUGACAAUUUAUAUUGAAUUUUCUUCAAAAAAAUGUUCUCCAAGUAAAAUUAUCAUCGAUAAAAAUCCUGAAAAUUUAUUUUGAGUAUCAAAAGAGAGCCUUAUUUUCCAAUUUUAGUUACAAAUUGAUAGUUGCAUUGAAUUUUCUUUAAAAAAAAAGUUUGUUCAAGUAAAAUUAUCACUAAUAAAAAUCCUAAAAAAUUAUUUUGAGUCUCAUUAAUAUGAAAACAACAAAAUUUAUUAUUUUUUAUCUUAAAUUUUGAAAAAUUUAAAAAUGGUCUACUUCUCAUAAUGAAAUUAUGCACUAGGAUGCAUUUGAAAACUCUUCAUCCAUUAGACCAUAUUCUUGAACAAAAAAUAAAAAUAAAUUAGAAACUUAUAAAAUAAAGUUAAUACUAUUUUUAUUGAAAAAAUAAACUAAAAUGCAAUAAUAAAUAAAUAAGUAUUUGAAAAAGUAAAGAAAAAAAAAUCAUCUAAUUGUAACCCAAGCAAUAGAACUAUAAUUUUUAAUAUUAAAAAUGAAGAAAACAUAUUAUAUUACAAGCAUUAUAUCAUUAUCCAUUAAUUCAUAUUUCAAAUUCUAGAAUUACGAGACUAAUAUUUUAAUAUUAUAGUUUUAGAAUUUAGAGUAUGAUGAUUUUUAUAUUUAAAAAAAUUUCAAAUAAAAUUUAAGGAUGAAAAACUGGGCAAAACUUCAAAAAAAAUCUCUUCUAAGGUUGAAAACCAAAGUUUUCUUGGUGAUUUUUAAAGCAAAAAAAUACUUUUCUAAAGUUAAGAAACUUAGAUGGAGCUUGAUUCAAGCUGAAAGCUAGCAUUGUAGCACAAAACAUUGGUUCUUAGAAGGUUGAUCAAUCCUACUUGGGUAUAAGUUCUAUAUUGUGCAAUGUCUAACUGCUGCUCAACUAAUUGACUAAUUAAGUAUUAGCGGUUAUUUAUAACAUACAUCAAAUUUUAACAGCUAGUCAAUCGAUCAACCAACAUGGUAGAAACCUAUUUCUAAUUUAGUUUAUGUAAGUAUUACCUAUUUAUAACUCGUUAUUUCAUUUAUGAACUUUAAAACUCCUAAAAUGAGAAUUAUUAUUAAUCAUUUGAGCUUUAAUACAUUACUAACGCAUUAUACUAUUAGAAAAAAAACUUAUUAUCGAUAUUUUCUUACUCGUUGUUUUUUAUCAACACUAACAAAAAAUGUCCUUUUUAUCAUUGUCAAUAUAUGUUUUGAAAAACCUGGACAAUUUAUUAGCUUUGAUUGUCCUUAAUGUUGACAUCUAAGAAGCAUCAUGCAAAAGCAAUUACAGAUAUAUUGAUCCUGGAAGUAUACAAUAGAAUUUCCACAAGCAAUCAAAAUACCUUGAUGAUGAUGAUAAUGGAUUUGUUGCUUGUUAGAACUCAAAAUCAUAUUACUUAUGGUACCUUUAAAUUUGUCAAAUUUAUUCUUAUUUUUAUAUUUAACUACUUUUAUAAAUAAAUAAAUAAAUAACCAAUCCGAUAAGAUGAUGAAAAAAAUAUUGACGAUUGAUGAUAUAAUUGUAAUAAUUAAUUGAUCCCAAAAUAUGUUGUAAAACUUGUAGUUUAGGUAUAAAAUCUAUCUUAUAUAUAUAUAUUAUUAAGCAUAUAUAAAGACCAAAAUUUAUUAAGCAUAAAAAAUAAUAAACAAGGACUAAUGUUGCAUAAAAACAUAAAUUAAGGUCAUAAUAGGCUUAACUAACACAAGAAAAAAUAAAAUAUAAUGGUGCACUAGAAAUUGAACUUAUGAAAGGAAAAGUGAAUUUCAUUUAUAGUUGAAAGUCCUCACCUUAUCAGAAAGUACGGAAGUCAAUCAUUUCAUUUAUUUAAAAUAAUUAAAAUAAUUUUAAUUAUUUUUCCAUUUAAAAAAUUAAACACGAUGGGGUAAGGUAGGAUGAGUAUGAGAAUUUCUGAUAUCCGUCCGCUUUAACCUGUUUAUAUUUUUUUGAAAAUUUGAAAUUUUUUUUAAAACUUUAUUUUCAAUUUUUUAUUAUAUUAAAAUAAAUAUAUUUUAUAAAUAAUUAAAAUAUUAUAAUUUUUAUAACUUUUUAUUGAAAAUUAUUAUUAUUAUUAUUAUUAUUAUUAUAUAUUAAAAAUAAAAAAAAAAAAUUAAAUUAAAAUUUAAAAUUAAUUUUAUAUAUAAUUGAGAACAGGACGGGACAAGAUAAGGCAAUACUUGAACACACUCUAAAUCCGUCCUGCGUUUUAAAAAAAAAAAUCUCAAACUCACCCCUAACCUAAUUAUUCAAAUUCCAAAUGGGAUGGGUAGGACAUAUACUAAAAAAAACCCAUCCUAUUAUUAUCCCUAUUUAAAAUUCCUUAUCCUUCCACAAGUUCUUUUCUUAAAAAAUAAGAAUAUAUCAUACCAACAUUUCACUUAUGUUAUUGAUCCAUCAUAACUCUAUAUUUAUAAUAUUUUAAAAAUAAAAAUAAUUAAAAAAAAAUAGUAGUUUGUAUGUUACCCCUUAGAAUACACAAGCUUCCAGCGCAAUUUAUUAACCUAACAUAAUCAUAAUACAUGUGUUCACAAAUUUGCAAACAAGCUAGAUGAUAAGAUCCACCAAAUCAAAUCAUUUGUUUCAAAAUAGUCGAUUAUUAGUUUCAAAAUAGGUGGUUUACUAUACUGGUAUAUUAUUUAAGUGCAUUUCAUUUCAGGACCUAAAGAGUUUGUCCUCCCUACCUACAAUUUUCACAUGUACACAUAUAAAGGGGUUGUCAUAAUAAUUUGGUGGGCAUUUACAUCAUAGAAGAUAUUCUAGACCAAAAAUUUAUCAAGCUAGACAAUCAUGAAUAAUUUAUUGUUGGUGUAUUUCGAAAUUGAGAUCAAACCUCUUUUAUUAGUAUUACUAUGAAUAAAUCAAUCUAAAGAGCCUUGUGUGGGUCAACAAUAUGAAGUUUGGGUCCUAAUCCUUCUAUAUAUGUAUGGCAAGGAAACCAACUAAAUAGACAGUGCUCUCUUUCCACAUCUAUUGAAUCCUUAGAGUGCAUUCACAUAUUCAAGAGUUUUAUAGAGGGAUGGAGAGCUUAUAUUCUAUAUUCCAUUAAAAUCCCAUUUUGUUGCUACCACACAACUCCUUAUUUACUUGGGGAGCCAUAAAUGUUUUAAUCAUAUUUGCAACGAUGUUCAUGAAUGGUUCAGAAUAUUACAAAGAUUUUAAUCUUUGGACCGUUGGAGAUGGGGUUACUUCGAUAGUUUGUACAAGUAUUUUCGUUCCACUAAUUACUAUUAUUCUAGAUAUGUCAUAGUACGGGAUUAUUUGGACUACAAUAUCAAACCAAAUGAUAAAGCAAGAUUUGAUAAGUAAUAGUCAACAAAUGGGAAUUCAUUUAUCAACAAAUUUUUUUCUUUCAUUUGAACUAAUUUCGAUAAUUCUUUUAAUUGUUUUGAUAGUAGAUUUGAAGGGUUUGUCAAAGAAUUUAGACAACUUUGGAUCUACAUGAACAACAAAAUUUGUGUCCUACAAGGUGCACAAGUCAUGAAUGGCCUGAAAAUAGCAACCAUUAUAUUUUGAAUGGUGUAAGUGAGAACAUAAAGAAGUAUGCCAUAGAUGUAAAAAGAAUAUAAUAUUAUUAUCUUUUUAGGGUGCAAAAAAUAACUUGUAAAUUGCAUGGCUAGAAGAUAAAAACCUAUAUAUUUUUUUCAAGAGCUAUUUCAUUUGAUGUUUUAGGUCUACAUUUAAUUGCAAAAAAUGGACUUUAAUUACUAAGUACUCAAUGAACUUUGGUUUUUAACUAACGAGAAAACUACUUACUAAGUACUUAAUUUCAUUCUUGAUGUUGUAUUGCUGUACCACGUAAAUGAGAGGAGUAGAGUCAACUAACUUUCUUACUUUUCACAUGAAUUUUGUUUAAAAGUUAUUAAUAUAUUUAGUUAUUAUAUAUUUAUUAUUUGGUUACUAUAUCUCUUAUUUAUUUAGUUAUUAUAUUAGAAUUAUUUUAUUUCUUUUUAGAAGUAAAGGUAAAUUAAUCUUCAUUUUCUUUAUUAGGUCUAUGUAAAUUCUAACGGUGUUGUACCUAUUUUCAAGAUAAUUCAUAAUAAAAAAUUUAAAAUUUUUCUCUCCUUUUUGCUUUGAUUUUUUUUUUGGAUUUCAACAUGGUAUUAGACCAAAAUUGAUUUUUAAUAAAACUUUUUGAUUUGUAAUCUCAUGGAAGAGAAUUUAAUCUCAUACAUUGUUUUCAUAUUUGUUUUAUCUUGGAAUUUUUUUUUUUUUUUGUCAUAUUUGAUCAUGGGAUAUCGUAAUAGGUGAUCGCAUCAUUAUUUUCUUAUUUGAUCAUGGUAUUUGAUUUCCUAUUCUUUUUCUUUAGUUCGUAUCUACUUUCUUUUAUUUGGUAGUUACUUGUUAUUUAUUUGUCUUGAGCAAGAUGAUUUCCUUCAAUCUAUUUUGUGUGAGAUUGGAUGAAAAAAAAAUUAUUCAUAUCGGAGUUAUGUGAUGAAAAUUUUUCUAAAGGACAAAAAUAUGUGAGGUUAUAUUGUUCGUAUUCCCUUUAGAAAAAUUUUUGUGAUAGAAUCCAACCAAAUCUCCAAAAUGAAUAUGAUAAGUACAUAAACUAUAAACCGAAGGAUCAACACAUUGAAUUGGUCUAAGAGAUUAAUACCUUAAAGUUGAUUUAAAUAUAGGGUGUAGAUUGCUCUUAAGAUCUAAUUCGAUCUUGAUGAAUGUUAGUCUUUAAUUUAGUACUACUGAAGUUAGAUUGUACUCUUCGUAAGUUUUAUUAUAGAAUUGAUUAUUACCACUUGGAUUGUGAACUCUUCAAAGGUUUGUAUUAUGGAUUUAAAUAAAAAAAAUUAUCUUGAUUUUUCAUAAAGUGCAUUUGAUAAUGAUUUUAGAAGAUGUUUUUAGUCUUUCUAAUAUUUUAAAAAUAAAAUUUUUCUAGUGUAAUUUUAUAGCAUUAGAAAUGUUAGAAACACUUUGUACAAUUACCACAAAACAUACUCUUAGUCAAACUAUAGAUGUCUUUAUAAUGAUAUGCAAGUUGUGGUGAUUCAAGGUGAUUCUUGACAGGUUUGCCAUAUUUUUAAGUUUUAGUAAAUUAAUUACAGAAAGUAGUAUUACUAAUCAUAGUAACCUUAAUUUUUUUUACGAAAAGUGUGAUUUGAUUCACUAAUAUAAAAUUACAUGGAAAAAAUUACCCCAAAUUUUUUAAAAUUAAUAUUAUUUUCAUCUAUUUAAAAAUAAUUUGAAAUACAUGUACUUUUAAAUGAGUCAUCUAUUAUUCCCAAAAAUACCUUUUUAUUUGUCAUGUCAUUCAAAUCAAUUGAUAAUUAGACUCCUUCAUAUAAAUGUUUCAUCUUCUUUUAGAUAUUUUAUUAUUAUUAUUAUUAUGAUUUGAGAUUUUUUUUCUCUAAAAACAAACACCGUAUAUGAUUCUUAUUUUAGUUUCCUACAAGUUUAGAAAAUAUUGUACAAAAAAAAAUCCUAUUUAAAUAGGAUUAAUAUUUUUUUUUUAUUUUCUAGAAUUUUAGGAGGAAAUGUUGUCAAACAAAUCCUACUUAAUCAUAAUUAUCAAUUCAAAAAACAAUAAGGUUAUUUAUUAAAUAAUAAAUAAUAAAUUUAAUAAUAUAUAAUUAUUUUAAUUAUGAUUAAUUUAUUUAAUAUAAAAUAAUUAUUUAUUUAUUUAUGUUUAUAUGUAUAUCAAAGUACAACCAUAUUAUAAAAUAUUUUAUAUCUAAAAAAAUCUUACAACAAAUUUUAUUUUCUAUUAUAUCAAACAAUUAUUAAUAUUAUAUAAUAAAUACAAAUUUAUUAUUGGUAUAUCAAACAAUUAGUAAUAUUAUAUAAUAAAUACAAAUUUAUUAUUGGUUUAUUUAUUAUCAAGAAUAUGAAUUUAUUUUUAACUUAUUAAUACUAGAAUAAACUCUUUUUUUUUUCUUUUUCUUUUUUUAUCAAAUUCUUACCUUAUAAUGUUUCAAGAGAAAAAAAAUAUCACAUAAUAAAAUAAUAAUAAUAAUAAUAAAAUAUCUAAAAGAAAGAGGAACAUCAGUCUAAUUGUCAAUUAAUUUAGAUAACAUGACAAGUAAAAGGACAUUGUUGGGAAUAAUUGGAUGAUUCAUUAAAAAAUACAUGUAUUUUAAAUUAUUUUUAAAUAGAUAAAGAUAAUACUAAUUUAAAAUUUUUAGGGUUCUUUUUUCUAUGUAUUUUCAUAUUAAUGAAUCAAAUCUCACUUUUCCCUAAUUUUUUUUUUCAAAUAUUACAUUUUAUCAAAUGCUCAUUGAACUUGAAUAGGUUGAAUGGGGUUUAUACUCAAUAUAAUCUAAAUUGAAAAACAUUCAACCUAGUCCAAUCUAAUCUAAUAUCAUUUUUUUAAACUGGGGUUAGGUUAAACAAAAUUGUUAGAUUAAUCAAAUUGUAUAAGUCAAAAGCAGGUUGGAAAAGGUUGGAUUGGAUUAAUCCCACAUGAAUUUUUUAAAAAAAAAAAAAAUUCUAUGUAUUUAUACGAAAAUUUAAACUUAUUUAAAAAUAGUAAUAAAAAUAUAAAAAUAAACUCGUCUCGUAUCAUUAUAAUUUGAUAUUUUUCCCAAAAAAAAAUUAUAAAAAUAAUAUUAUAUAUGCUAAUAUAAAUUAUAAAUAUUAUAAAAUAUUUCAUUAUUUGGAUUGAUGCAAUCCAAUUGAAUUUGGGUUGAAAACUUCAAUUCGUAUUAGGUAAAACCGACCAACUCAAGUUUCCCCGAGAUUUUAAUUCUGCACCCAAUCCCAAAGGCCCUAUGUAUAAAGUUCUUUUGAUGAUAGGAACAAAUUUAGAUUGUAAAUACAUUGGUCAAUUUUUGUUAGAAAAUGUUUUUUGAGAUUUUUUUUUUUGAAAACAAACUGUUUCUUAAAACAAAAUUUAGAUGGAUUUGAUUGUGUUUUUGGAAAGAGUUUUAAGUAAUAAUUAAUACAAAGAAAUAAUAUGUUGAAAUUUUUUAUGUUAUACGAUACCUUUUCGAAAAAUAAGUUGAAAAAAAAAGUAAUUUUUCAUAUUUCAGUUCUCAAAUAAAAUUUUUAUUUUUAAAAACUAUUUUUGAAAACAUUUCCAAACAUGCCCUUACUAGCUUCGCCAUUUUGGGUUUUUAUUUUUUCAAGGACAUUCAACUUGCAUGAUAUAAGUUAGAGAGAAUAUUAUUAUAAAUUAAUAUUGUUUAAUUAUCCCUAUGAUAAACCACCUAAGCAAAAAUGAAUAUCUUUUCCUAAUCUCAAAUCUAGAUUUAUCCAAAAUAGAAAGAUGAAAAUCAUUAAUUAUUUGGGACAAUUGCGUUUUGGACCCAGACCAGUUGGGCCCAAAAAUUAAGAUUUGGCCCAUAAAAGUUGUAUAAUUGAUAGGAAUGAUAUAAAAUAUGAAAAAAUCAAUAUACCCUUCAAAACUAUUUUAAGUAUUUUCUACCAUAACGUUUGAUAAACUUUUUUAUUUUAAUUUUUUUAAUAAUUAUUUUGAAAAUUUAUUAUUUUUAUAAAACUAAUUUUUUUAAAAAUAUAUAUAUAUUCUAAAAAUAUAUCAUUAAAAGAAAUUUUGACAUAUUUUUAGUUAUUUUUUACAUACAUAAUUUUAAAUAUAUAUAUUUUCCAAGAUGUUUGAUUUUUAAAUAAUAAUAAUAAUAAUUUAUUUUUAUUUUUUUGGAAAAUGGUGUGUAUUUUUUCCAAAUCACUAAAUUAAAUUAAAUUUUAUUGAGGUUUAUAAAAUGAAUAAAAUUUAAAUUAAUAUUUUUCUACUUUUUUUUUUAUAGUCAAUAAAGGUUAUUUUUGGAAAGAUAAAAAAUUUAUAUCCUUCUUCUCAAUUUUCACACUUUCUUUAGGUCUUGGGCUUAAAUGAUGAACUUAUAUGGACCAAAGUUUAAUUUUUGGGUGCAACUAGGUCUAAAAUACAAUUGUUCCUAAUUAUUUUGAUGCAAGAUUAUGACAAGUUUAAGAAUAUAUCCCCAAAUCAUGUACAAAACAUAGAUAUGAAAAUUUCAUGAUAAAUUAAAAUCUAAUUUUUUAAUAUUUAAAAUAUAAUAUCUUUGUAUUUAAUGAACUAUUUUUUAUUAUUAUUUUACCCAUUUGUUGUGUUUUUAAAAACAAUAUUUUAUAAUAAUUCACACGUUAAAAAUAAUAUAAUGUCUUAUAACAUAAUAAAUUAAUAAAUUAACUCAUACUUAUAUACCAUCUAAAUGCUUAAUAAAAAGGAAUAUUUUUCUUUUAUAGUUUUAUAAUCAAAUUCAUGCAAAUCAGGGAUGAGAAAGUUUGAUACAAUUCAUCUUACGAGUCAAAACUAACACAUUUUUCACAAGUUUAGAUUGAAUAUAAUUAUAUUUGGAUUAUAUUCAUAUUCAUAUUGUUUUUUUUUUAUAGGUAAAUAAAAGCAUAUAUUAGAAAAACCAACACACGAUGAAAAUAGCAUAUGCAAAGUAUACAAUAAACGCCCAAAAAACUAGGCAUCACAAAGACAAAUAAGCUCACCCCUUACUUAACAAAUAACCAAUCUACAAAUCAAUUAUAGACGAAGUGUGAUUCUCUAUAUACACCCUAACCUAAUUCACAAAAUUAUUCAAAAAAUAAUAUUUGAUGGCUUGAUCAACCCGACAUCAUUGAAAGCUCUCCCAUAAGAUCCACAUUAGGCAUGCAGGGGCAGCCCUCCACGCCUUCGCCCUUCUUUUACCCACAAAAGUGUCAUUUCAUCUAAGCAAGUUCUCCCUCACGGUGGAAUGCAAAACUCAUUGCACAACAAAGAGGGAGAAGAUCGGAUUCAUAUCGAUACAGUGGAAUGCAAAAUCCAUUGCACAACGAAGAGGGAGAAGAUCAGAUUCAUAUCGAUUUCGUUAUGCAUAACUCAUUUAAUAAGUAGAUUGUUUUUAGGUCAAUUGUAUUUCAUGAAUUUGCCUUGAAUUAAAAUUUUAAUAAUAGUAUUGAUCAACUUGAUUAUAUCUUUAACUUAUUUAAUUCAUAUUUAACUCAAUUCUAAUUGAAUGUUGAAUAAGUAGGUUAAUUUCAUCAUAAAUAUAUCAAUUAAAAAGAUUAAUCAUAUUGACGGAAACAAGAUGUAACUCAACUUAAUUAUUAAAUAAAAUAUAAUUAUUAAAUGUACUAAGUCAAUUACAUAUGAUGCAUUACCUAUUUAAUAAUUAGGCUAUGUUUGGAUUUAUACUUUUAAUCUAAUAAUAAUAAUCCAUGUCAUGUUCAAAAGUCCGAUUUAAUCGAGGGUCUAUACUUUGAUUGCCACAAACACUAACCCACCUACACAAAUUGUCACCCUAUUCCAAAUAUAAAAUAAGAAUUAUCAAAUCCUACCAAACACAUUCAUUUGGCAUGGGUUUCCCAAACAAACGUGGCCUUAAAGUGAAUGCAUUUAACGCCCGUACUCCCCGUGAAUAACACUAGUCUUGUGAAAAAUGCAUAAUAUUUUAAGCUUUAGGCAUUCAUUCCAAUUCAGGUUUCAAAUUGUUGGAUGACACAAUUCCAAUAUUAAGCAACUUCAUUGCAAGCACAGACAAUUGAAGAGAAGCCAAUGUGCAGAACAAGUUUUCUUCUUCUAUUCUGUCUACUGUUCCUGACAUUAAUUCGUCUAAGAUGCCUUUCUCCACAACAAAGGCCAAAUGGUUUCUUCCUCCAACUGAAAAGAUUCAUCAGGCUAUUUAUUUUUGCUAGGACAUGUCCUGAUAUUGUGUCCUUUUUCUAGGCACAACCUGCAGGCAUAUAUCCUACUUCCAGAAAUUAGAGAACCUCUGUUUGUACCACCGGCAUCUAAUUUUAACCCAGUACCUUGAGGGCAUGUCCUGCGGUUAUGGCCGCUAUGACCACAUAUCCUACAAUGGUGAUGCCUUGAAACCGUGCUUCUGGUACCACUUUCUCUUGACCUCCGACAGGUUCUUCUAUUAUGGCCCUUUUCCCCACAUAACCGACAUCUGAACCGCCUAUCCACUGAACUAUUGGCGAGUUCAGGACAGUAGUGUCUCCUAUGACCUUCACGUCCGCAGUUUUUACAGUAAAAUUUGGCACCUGCAUAAGAAAGAGGAAUUGGUUGAUUGCAAAUUGCAUAAGAAAAUUCAACGACAAAAAAAAUGAUGGAACUAUCAAUUAUUUAAUGAGUCAUUAAGCACACAAACCUCUAAGUAUCCAAAUUGUUUAAUAAAAACUACAACCUGCUUGUCAGGAAGCCAAGGCAUUGCCAGCACUAGCCCUACAAAAAUACUUUGGCAGCCGAUUAUGGGGUCCAUAAACCAAAUCAGUCACAUGGUCAAGAUUCCAAACAUGUUGAAGAUUAUGGUAGUCCUCAAGCUAGUGCAUUCCACAAAAUAUGAAUUCUUCAUAGAAGUUAUCAGGAACCAGGGCCCUUUUACAAGAUUCAGGCCGAAAUGGUUUCAGAGUAAUAUCAUAUUCAAUUGAAGAAGGUGAAUGUGAUUCUAUAGUGUGUCAGUGUGGGUAAAAUGUUUAUCCGAUCAUGUACACCACCAUGGAAUGGACAUGUAAUGGAAAUAAUAAAAGACAAAAACAGGCAUGUAAGGCCUGGAUGAAGUGGCAAGGAGUUGGGGUGGAGAUGAGAGAGGUUCUUGGUUUGAUUUUGCAGAGGACAAAAAAUUGUGGCCUAUCAAAAAAGGAAAAAGGGAACAAAACAGAUCUAGAAGUGAAACACCAAGUUCGGUUCAAAAUCAUCUAGCAAACAAUGUAAUGAACCAAUAAAAAACAACAUAUAUUAGGAUGUAGGGGGAAAGAAAGCAAAAACAGAAGAUGUUAGUUUAACAAAGCCAUCUACAUUAACAAUAGAGUACAUAAACUGACCUUUCAUGGCAAUGCUUCUCUUACGACGGUUCUCUGGGUCACGGAAGAAAGCUUUCAAAGCUUCAGAAGCACGCUUUCUUGCUGCAGCAGUACCUUUGGCUUUCUGCAUAAAGUACUAACUGGUAAAUCUCAGAAGAUUUAUUUUUACUAAUGUUGGGUUAUCACAUGUCACUCUUUCCUUUUACAUUAGCACAUGUGUCCAUUGAAAUCAUCAAACAUCUUGACGCAUGAAAUGCACUUAUGAGUUCAUACUUCUAAUCUUCUAACAUGCAACAUGCUUUAAACUAAAACAGAAAAAUGCAAAAUAUGUAAAAUAUCAUUCAUAUGCUCCAGAGUCUUUACACUACAAUAGAAAAUUGCAAAAUAUGUAUGUAAAAUAUCAUUCAUAUGAGGUAACUCCAGAUUCUUAGCUGUCUAUAAAAGGGAAUUCAAUAAAAUUUGCAACUCCUGAGUUCCAAUGGAAAAAGAAAGGAGCCUUCACUUUCCACACCUUAAUUGCAGCCACUCUUUGCGCAUGAAGCUUUGGAUCACGAUGAAUGAUCUUCAUUCUCUUACUAAAAAGACCAGUUUUGGCAUUGAGACUCUGCAAUCAUCCAACUAAACAAAAACAAUUAAAUUCAUGAUCCAGCCAACAUAAAUCCUUGCCAGUUGAAAAUAAUUUCAACAAAGAAACGAAUGUAAAAUAUUAUAUUGGGAAAUUAGAUAAAAGUAGGGUGGUGAGCUCAUGUUCAUGUGUUUAGUCUAAAUUCGUCACAAAUGGUAGACAGAAAGGCAUGUACACAUUUAUAAUGUUAAAUUUCUUACUGAUGUGCAGUACAAAAUUUAUGGAAUACAUGUCAGGUAAUGUACGGAAAAAAUUCCUUAAUCUCUUCCAAACCUCAACCGCAAAUUGGCUUGUCUUUUAAACAUUAAAAAGGAAAAAAACAAUCAAGGAACAAGCAACCAGGAGCUUCAUAGAAUGGAUGAUUGGCUUUUUCAUGUGUCCAGGGUGGCUAGUAUCUAUAUUAGUUUGCUUGUUUUUUGUUUUGUUUCUAUAUUUCUACUUUUUUUUGAAUGAAUUUCUUGCUCAAACCUAAAGAAAUAAUUACAACUAUAAUUUUAACUCAUUGUGAAGGUUCCAUUCUAUAAUUUUUUGAUGAGAGAGAAAUAUAUGUAUAUAGUUUGAUAUGGCUAGACUGUUGGACACACCACAUUAUGCAGACAGGGUGCUUAAGGCACCACACAAAAUGUCACCAACAUCAACUGGAUAAUGCUCAUCCACCAAAAUUAGUAGGUCAAAAUGGGGCAAGUCUUUGAAGUUGUUGACUGCAGGUUUCCUGUAUAUAAACAGGAUGCACCCUGACACAAUUUUUUUUUUUUUGAUACGUAAAAAUGCAAAUAUAUUAAAAGCGCAAGAAAAAGCGCACUAGGUACACACGGAGUAUAGAAGGAAUGCAAAAGAGCAGAAGAAGGAAAAAGAAACAGCAAACCACAACCCAAAACAAGGAGCCCAAAACAAAGACAACACCCUGUAUGACAGAGAAGUAGAGGCUCCCAAACUACUUAACCUAGGCCAAAGCAGCAACUAAAGUCUUCACCAAGGGCCACUCCCCCAAGCCCCUACCUGAGGCAGUUGCACAAUACCCCUUGAAAAACAAACAAACCAAACUACAGAUCCCUUACAGGAAGCAAACAGCAAGAAAACAUUCUCUUCCUCUCCACCUACCUCUCUGCUUUCCAACCCCUCACCUUAACCUAGGCUGCACCCCAACACUUGAAUGUGAUGCUAAUCCAAGCUUAGCGCCCAUUUACAGCUAGUCCAAAUAAUGCACCACAAGAUCAUGGAAUGACUGGAUGGUCUCAGCCUGGUGUCUUAAGCAGAGACUCACAAGUGGCAGCAAGCAUUGCUAGGAAUCUUUUGCCUUCCUAAUAGGGAUUAGAGUUCCUCAUCAUCUCCCUGAAAUGUCUACGAUACUCAACCAUUGAAAAAAAUUGCCUGAAAUAGCUGACAGGCUUAACUGGGUUGGAAAUACUAUAUCACUUCAGCCUACAAUAGCCUCAAAUUGAGCAAUUGAAGUACACUGAGAAAAUCUAGACAGGUUGAGGAAGGAAAUACCAAAGGGUCAUAAAAGUAUCUAAAGACAAUAGCCAUCUCUCAGUUCCAUUAAUGUUAGUAUAUAAUUAUUGUGAUUGAACAG